UUUUUUUUUUUUUCUUAAUCGCUUACUGCGAGAUGGGAGAUUCACUCAGCAUCAUAAUAAACAUUUAGUACUACUGAAAAAUGGUGGGUUUUCUCAUAACCUUUUUAAAUGGAUUUAGAUGGAUUAUCCCUCAAAACUGAUGAGCCAAUUGGUUUUACUUGAAUGUCCGUUAAUAUCAGAGGUGAAGCCAAGACCCCACAGUAAGUGGGGUCAAAUUUUAGUACAGUAAACCCUUUUUUUUUGGCAGCACAUUAAACUUUUACAAAGCAAAUAUCAAAAUUAUAUAUAUAUAUCUAUAUAUAAAGCAAGUUUCAUUAAUAUAUUGUAGAAAAUUGUCCUGCAUAAUUUGAUUUACAUCUCCGUUUUAAUGGUAAGUUAAACAUGCACUAAAAAUAAUAGAUCUUCAAAACGUUCAUAAUUGUAUCUUAAAAGUACUCAUCUUCUAAAAAUGUUGCAAAAUCAAUGCAUUAUCAAUUUUGUUAAAACAAUUUUUUCAAUGUAAGUAAUUGAAACUUUUAAAUAAUCUACGAACUACCAUCAACUUGAUUUUUACGAGUUUCUUUUAAGAAAUUUUUCUAUAGCUUAUUAUGAAUGAAUUGUAUUAUAAAUAAAAGUUUAGCAUCCAUUUCAAAAAUUCUUGUUUUUGGAAACUUUGAAGUUUGAAAGAAUUAGUUUUUCCACUCCAAUCAAGAAAGGUCAUCCCUUGUUUUUAAAAACUUUAGAAGAAUUUAUUCUUGAAAUAACUUUCAUAAAUAACUUGAAACAAAUUCAAAAUUUUUGUGAUGGCAAAAUUUAUGAAUUUUCAAUUAUUUAGGGUCAAUAUAUAUAGAAAAGAAAAUUUGUUAAAAUUUAGUGGGUCAAAUGAGACGCAACUUUAAAAUUUUCUAAAUUUCCUAAGCCUAAAAGCUAACUUUUUCAAAGUUAAGUGGGUCAAUUGACCCCACUUACUUCCAUGUGGCUCCACCACUGGUUAAUAUCCAUCUAAAUUUGUUUAAUAAUCCAAAACAUUUAAGUGAGGUGGAUAUGUAUGAGUAAAUGGAUAUGAAUUGAAAAUGUCACUUCUAAAUUAAACUAGUUUAUAUUUGAAGGGAGUUUGAUUUAGUAAAGGCUUGUUCAAAUUUGGUUCGCCAACUAAUCAAUCCAAAUUUGAAUAGUAUUUUAUGCUUGAUAAUGCUCAAAUUUGAUAAAAAUCUCAUUCAAAUUCAGUUCGGCAACUAAACAAGCUAAUUUGAAAAAUUUUAAAUUCGUUAAAAUAAUCAAACAAUUUUUAACAUUAAGGUGUUCAAUUUGAUUAGACUCGUUUACAUUCCUAAUCAAAAGAAAAAAAAUUUUAUAGUACCGGAUAAAAAAGUCUACGCAUGAUGUUCCACGGAAAAGAACAAGGAUUGUAUACUCCCAAGUCAUAUAAAUUUUGUCAUCUUGUUGAAUAAACCAGAAAUAUUUGACUGUAAACAGAUUACUUACGUAUGAUAAUUGUUUUGAUCUGUAAACAUCACCAACAGCGUAUGGAGAAAAUAUGGACUACAGGGGACAUGAUCCGAGAAUGAUGAUCGUGGGCAUGCAAUCUCUGAAUAUUCAAAUGUCAAAAAGCACUUACUGAAGUAAUGCAGUCUUAGAAAUUAUGCUAAAUAUUAUUGGGAAAAUGGCCAAUUUAGUCCUUCAACUUUUUAACUUAAGGCGAUUUGAUCCUUCCUCUUUUAUUUAGGUAAUUUUAGUCCUUUAACUAAAAUUAGUAACCAAUUUCAUCCUUUUGCAGUGUUGCCGCCAGUAAAACUCUUUUCGGCACAAAAGUCACCAUCAAUUAAGGGCAAUAUAGGAAUUACGAAAUAGGGAUCAUUUUUAAAACAAUGAAUGCAAAAUAUUUUUUGUUACAUUGGGGAGAAAACCAAUUCUCCAUUAAUUUGGGGAGUAAAACAAAAGGUGCAAUAAACCAAAUUGUUCUUCUUCUCCACCUCUGGCUGAUGCUGAAGCCCCACAAAACUGCAAAAGCUAGCCCACCAGUGGAAUUCCAAACCCAAAUCCCCAAAACCUGACUCAAAACUGCUAAUUCAUUUUAUUUUUUGGAACCCCAAUACAAACUCACUCGUCAAGUCUCAUUUCCCUAGCAAAAUCUACUACUGGCAUCAGAGUUAAAUUGUCGAUAGGGGCUAUGCAGCAGGAGGGGAUGGAUAAGGAUGUAAAGAGGUUGAAGAAAAAGUCUGAAUUGUAAGCCUAAAGUUCAAAGUGAAAAUGCAAUUUAAAAUCAUGAUUUAAGGAAGUUAUUUUCGAAGCUUUGAUGCAACGAUCAUGAGGUAGCUAUCGACAAGGGAAUGCUUAGAAAACAGCUAAUCCAUUUGCUACUUUGAAUACUUUUCUUGAGUUUAUCAAGAAAAAUUUAUAUGUUGAUAAGUCUUAAUUGUAAACUAAAAUUACAAGACACAUGAUGAUGUACAAAAACAAUGUUAAUGAAGGUUUCAUUUUAAGAAGAAAAAAAAAGACAUAUUGUAGACAAAGAAAAUUUAUUUAAUUUAUUUAGUCGAGAUUUAUUAAAUUGAUCUUGAUUAAAUUAAAUUAAAUUAUAGAAGUCCAUUAUGUUUUGGACCGGUAAAUUGGGCCAAUAUUAUAUGGGCUAUUAAAUCAAAUUAAAUUCAUAGUGUCCAUUUAAGUUAGAGUGAAUUAAUUGAUUUAUUAAUUCACAAUGGACUAUUUGGGUUGGCCCAUUAUUUAAGCCCAAGUUAAAUGGAUUUCUUGAGUAACAAGUGAUCCAAAAUGCAGGAAGAUUCUGAGGGUUUUCUUGAAGACCUAGCCUACAUAUUUUGGCUAUAAAUAGAGGUCUUCCCUCAAGGCAAAGAUAGAGAAAAAAAUCCCUAACAUUCGGAGAAACUCUGUCAAAUUCCCUCAAGAGCUUUCUUCCUCAAAUCCAAAUCCAAAUCAAGUCAAACAAAUCCUCCUGCUAUCGGUGUUGAAGACUCGAAGUUCCAAGUGCUUGACGCCAUCAUCAAAUCAAUUGUUUUCUACGCCGAAAUUGUAGGAAACACCCUUUCGAUUGGAGAACAAGUCUUUUCGCCCCUUCAAUUGAAGCUAUUCGAAGAAAAGAAUCAGGGGAUUAAUUUCUUUGAUUCAAGAACUUUCAGAGAUUGUAACCCGCUUAUUAUUUGAUUUAAUAAAUUUGAUAUUUGUGCAAGUUUUCUUGUCUUUUAUUUCAGGCAACAAAAUUUGUGCUUACAAAUUUCUGGCACGCCCAGUGGGACAAUCUCUGCCUCUCAUCUCUUUUCUUCCAACAACUUACCAGUUUCAAAAUUCGAUGGAGUUCAAGAAGGUGAACUUUUCUCUUGAAGGCUUAGUUGCUGAUGUCUCAACCACUCAAGGGACGCAGUAUACUGCACCUCUGACAAGGAGUAAGGCCAAGGAGUUAGCAGAGAAGGCUAAGGCGAACGUUGUGACUGAAGAAGCAAAUCUCGAAAUGCUUCCUAACAAGAAAGGAGCCCAUGAUGAAUCCAUUGGUAGCCCAAGUGAUUCGGCUGCCUCUGUGGUGAUGCCCGUCAUGAUGACCAAUACCACAACUGUGGAAGACCAGAUCUCGAAUCUAGCCAAAAUUGUCGAAGGGCUAGUAGUGCAUGCACAAAGUCAGGAUGCCAAGAUAGUCAAAUUAAUGGAUAUGGUGGAAAAUAUAGGCGAAAAUAGCCUUAGCAUGUCCAAACAGAAAUUCAAAGUGCAAGAUGAAGGGGACUCGUCAUCAAGGGAGAAGGAGAAAGAGGAUGCGAAGUCACAAGCCGCGAAGGAAUUUUCAAUCUCCCCUGAUGGCACCAUUCAUGUUGACAAUCUGAAGGAAUUUAUCGAAGGUACAAUCAAGGAUAAGAUGGGCGGAAGCGCCAAGCCAUACAGCGGUUACACCAAACCUUACACCGCUAGAGUGGAAAGUUUGAAAAUGCCUGUGGGGUAUCAACCUCCAAAAUUUCAACAAUUUGAUGGUAAGGGCAAUCCUAAGCAACAUGUAGCACACUUCGUGGAAACUUGUAACAAUGCGGGCACUGAUGGUGACUUGCUCGUUAAACAGUUUGUUCGCUCGCUGAAGGGUAAUGCUUUUGAUUGGUACACGGAUCUUGAGUCUGGAACCAUUGACAGUUGGGAGCAGUUAGAGCAUGAAUUCCUUAGUCGCUUCUAUAGCACAAAGAGAACUGUCAGCAUGACUGAACUCUCUAAUACACGUCAAUGGAAGAGUGAACCUGUCAUUGAUUUUAUCGACCGUUGGAGGAAUCUAAGCUUAAAUUGCAAAGAUCGAAUUUCUGAAUCUUCCGCGAUCGAGAUGUGCAUUCAAGGUAUGCACUGGGGACUCAGAUACAUCUUACAAGGUGUACAACCAGGAACAUUUGAUGAACUGUCCACAAAAGCCCAUAAGUUGGAGAUUAAUCUUGAUGGACAAGAACCGCCAGUUCCUGACCCUUACAAGGCCAAAGAGAGACAAGAAGCGAGGAAAGGGGGCAAGCCACCAUUUAAAAAUGAAAAAAAGGAGGCUAUGGCUACAAGUGUAACGCCCUUUAAGGUUGUUCCCAAAACUGCCAGGAGAGAAGAUAGCAAGAUCAAUGCACAUCAAGAACAAGGAAAGAGGAAACCAACUCUCAAGGAGAUGCAGGAUAAGGAGUACCCUUUCCUUGAUUCUGAUGUCCCUGGUAUGUUCGACGAUCUGUUAGGUAUAAACUUGAUCACGCUUCCUGAGAUGAAGCGACCUGAUGAGGCCAGGGACACUGACGAUCCAAAUUACUGUAAGUAUCACCGAUUGGUCGGGCAUCCCAUUCAAAAAUGCUUUGUCUUCAAAGACAAAGUAAUGGAGUUGGCAAGACAGGGAAAAAUUCUCCUUGAAGAAGACAAGGCGAGUGUGAAUCAAACGUCCAUUGGUUCCCUGCAGUCCGUGGAGGAUAAAAGGGUCAUGGUGCCUGUAUUGCCAAUAAUUCAAUUUGGAUCACUUGAUCCUAUAGAAAUCAAACAAGAAGGUGCUCCUUCAACUCUUCAGGAACAUGUAUAUGAAGAUGAAAAGGCGCUACAGUCUGAUGUGGAUGAUGAAGGAUGGACUCUAGUCACGCAAAAAAGGAGGCGGAAGUCUUGUCCAUCUAGUAGGGCGAGCAAGGUCUUAACAAGAAGUAUGGUGAUUUGGAAGGGGAAAGAGAAUGACGUAAAGAAAACUAAUGAUUAUCAUAAUCUUCAAGGAGGCCGAAUCUUCAAGCAAAAGUCGCGAACUCCUAUUACUUUAAAAGAGUUUUUGCCAAAGGAAUUCUUUGAUGUUGAUGUGGUCGCAAGUCACACAACGCAAGUAGAUCAUAUCGAGGAACAAAAAGAUAAUACUUGCGAAUCUCUCUGUGAGAUGGCCCGUGCGCCCACCGGCAAUGAAGAAGGUCGUGUGUCUACCAGCAAUGAAGAGGUGAACGUCACAAGUAUCACUUUUACUAGUGAAGACUUGUUGCUUGGGUCAACGCCGCAUAACCGUCCUUUGUUUGUGACUGGUUAUGCAAAAGAGCAAAAAGUGAAUAGAAUGUUGAUAGAUGGAGGUUCCGCAGUCAAUAUUCUCCCUUUAAAAACUCUGAAGGAGCUUGGUAUCCCGGUUGAUGAACUCUCCAAUAGCCGACUGAUGAUUCAAGGCUUCAAUCAAGGAGGGCAAAGAGCUCUUGGGUCACUAAAUUUGGAGAUAAUCAUUGAUGACAUGACGUCCAGAGCACUAUUGUAUGUGAUAGAUGCUAAAACAACAUACAAUGUAUUGUUGGGAAGGCCCUGGAUUCAUGAAAAUGGAGUUGUACCUUCAACUCUUCAUCAAUGCUUCAAGUAUUGUCAAAACGGGGUGGCAAGAAGUGUGAAAGCUGAUGAUAAUCCUUUCACUGAGGCGGAAGCAUAUAUCGCCGAUGCCAAAUUUUACAUCAAAAGGCACAUUGCGAAGGAUAAAACUGAACAACCUCUAUCUGGGGAUAAAAUUCAGAACCCCGAAUCUCCAAAUGCAAAAGGGGAGAAAGUGAUGACUUCGAAAUCAAAAGAGGAAGUUCAUGAAGAAACUGAUGUUUCAUUGCCAAACAAUGAAUCAGUUGUCUUUCGCUGCCCUCCCAAAUCAAGAAUGGAACAGGGACAGUCACCUGCAAUUCAGCAUGAAACUCUAAAAGAUUUGACUCUUCCGGUAGCUCAUCUUGAUACAAAAAAGGCGUCAUCUUCUCAACUUAAAAGGUCUAACUUUUUAACCAAAGAAUCUGAAGUUGAACAAGAGACCAUACCAAAGUCAAGAACUAAAGAAGGUUUUGAUCCUAUCGCUUAUAAGCUUCUCGCUAAGGCUGGAUACGAUCUCAAAGAAUCUGCGGUGUUAAAUGUUCCAUCCCGUCAAUCUACCAGUGACAUGAUUCAUGGGUUGAAUCCUACCCAAAAGAUGUUGAAGGAAAAAGGAUACGCCGUUGAAAAUCCCAAAUUUGGCCUUGGCUACUCCUCUCCUACACCAAUCCGCAUCAAGAUCAAUAGAGUUAGUAGCCAAUAUAUUGCUAUAGAGGAUGAGUCUUCUCAAAUAGUUGGUAAAUCUCAAGCUUUUCACGAAAAGGAAAAUAAAAUUUCACGGGUAUCUGUUUUUAAGAGAUUAGGACCACAAAAAAGAUAAAAAUCUCAAAACUCUCAUAAGAGUAAAGGAAAAAUGGCAAAGUCAUUGCAAAGUCUUGAAGAACCUUCUGAUUGUCCUCAUAAAUUUGGCAGUAUCAUUCCUUCGAGAAUGAGAAGAUGCACAGACCUUGUAAUAAAGUGUGGGACUGAAUUGAGGGUCAGGGAGUAUACCGUGGUGUACACAAGACCAAAAGAGGAUGAUGAAGAGAGUGUUGCUUCAUGCAACCAUAUAACCAUAAUUGACGGUGACUCGCCUGAAGAAGAAGAAGAUGCUGAAGACGCUCCACCUGAAUUGGAGGAAGGUGUUAAGGCUACUGUGGAUGAUCUAAAGGAGAUCAAUCUUGGUACUUCAGAGGACCCGCGUCCAAUAUACAUAAGUGCUUCACUGAGUCCUGACGAAGAGAAGGCAUAUGUUGAACUCUUGCGGGAGUAUCAAGAUGUUUUUGCAUGGACUUAUAAAGAAAUGCCGGGUUUAAAUCCAAAAGUGGCCGUCCACCAUUUGGCUGUUAAAAAGGGAGUUCGACCUGUGAAACAAGCACAACGGCGAUUUAGACCUGAUUUGAUUCCGUUGAUCGAAAUGGAAGUCAAUAAACUCAUUGAAACCGGGUUUAUUCGUGAAGUUAAAUAUCCCACAUGGAUUUCGAGUAUCGUGCCUGUGCGAAAGAAAAAUGGACAAAUCCGCAUCUGUGUCGAUUUCAGGGAUGUUAACAAUGCUUGUCCCAAAGAUGACUUUCCUUUACCGAUCACUGAACUCAUGAUUGAUGCAACUACUGGGCAUGAAGUUCUGUCAUUUAUGGAUGGCUCUUCUGGAUAUAAUCAAAUUCGAUUGGCACCGGAGGAUGAGGAGCUCACUGCAUUUCGUACUCCUAAGGGUAUUUAUUGUUAUAAAGUGAUGCCCUUUGGUCUCAAAAAUGCGGGUGCCACAUAUCAAAGAGCAAUGCAAAGUAUCUUUGACGACAUGCUUCAUAAGAAUAUCGAGUGUUAUGUGGAUGAUUUAGUUAUAAAAUCAAAGAAAAGAAGUAAUCACUUGGAGGACUUGAGACAAGUAUUUGAUCGAUUGAGAAGGUAUCAACUCAAAAUGAACCCUCUCAAGUGUGCAUUUGGAGUCACGUCGGGGAAAUUUCUUGGUUUUGUGGUUCGCCAUCGAGGUAUUGAAAUUGAUCAGGCCAAAAUUGAUGCUAUAUUGAGGAUGCCUGAACCUCGUGACAUUCAUGAAUUGAAAAGUCUUCAAGGGCGAUUAGCUUAUCUGCGGAGAUUUAUCUCAAAUUUAGCAGGAAGGUGUCAGCCAUUUAGUCGCUUGAUGAAGAAAGAUGUGCCAUUUCAAUGGGAUGAGACAUGUAGUAAUGCAUUCAAUAGCAUUAAGUCUUAUCUUAUGAAAGCACCUGUGUUGGCUGCACCUAUUCAUGGAAAGCCCUUACUCCUUUAUAUUGCUGCCCAAGAACGAUCGAUGGGGGCAUUGCUCGCUCAAGAAAAUAAUGAAGGAAAGGAGGUUGCCCUUUAUUAUUUAAGCAGAAUGAUGACCCCCAACGAACUAAAUUACUCGCCAAUUGAAAAGUUGUGCUUAGCCCUUAUUUUUGCAAUACAGAAGUUAAAGCACUACUUUCAAGCGCAUAGUGUGAGGCUCAUUUCCAGGGCGAAUCCCAUAAAAUAUGUGAUGAGUAGACCAGUGUUGUCCGACCGUCUAGCUAGAUGGUAUCUUCAACUACAACAGUUUGAAAUUAUUUAUGUGCCUCAAAAAGCUGUGAAGGGACAAGUUCUGGCAGAUUUUCUUGCUGAUCACCCGAUACCUGCUGAAUGGGAACUAAGUGAUGACUUACCGGAUGAGGAUGUACUCCUUAUCGAGAUUCGUCCACCAUGGAAGAUGUAUUUUGAUGGUGCGGCUCAUCGUCAUGGAGCUGGAGCAGGGAUUGUAUUCGUGACUCCUGAUGGAGGGAUAUUGCUAUAUUCCUUUACUCUAAGUCAUCAUUGUUCAAACAAUGUCGCUGAGUACCAAGCUCUCAUACUCGGACUUGAAAUAGCUGUUGAUAUGGAACAGUUGGACAUUCAAAUCUAUGGUGACUCUCAAUUAGUGGUUAACCAACUCUUGGGAAGUUAUGAAGUCAAAAAGUCCGAGUUAAUUCCGUAUCACAAAUAUGCAACGCAACUAAUGAGGCGGCUUGGAGGUGCAAGUAUUAAGCAUGUUCCUAGAAGGGAAAAUAAGCAAGCUGAUGCAUUAGCUGCGCUAGCCUCUUCACUUACCAUGCCGGAUCAUGAGAUACAAGUCCGUGUGUGCCGAAAGUGGGUAGUUCCAUCACUGAUUGAUGAUGAAAAUAUUGAAGGAGGCAACGCUCAUGUGGUCUCAACCUAUGAAAUUGACAAAGAAGAUUGGAGACAACCCCUCGUUGAUUAUCUCAAGUAUCAAAAAUUACCUGAGGAGCAACGUAGAAGAACUGACAUUCGUCGUCGAGCCCCUCGUUUUAUCUUGUACAAGGACACGCUGUACCGAAGAUCAUUUGAAGGUGUACUGUUGCGCUGUCUGAGCGAAGACGAGGCAUAUCAGGCGAUGCACGAGGCACAUUCUGGAAUAUGUGGAGCACAUCAAUCCGGUCCCAAGUUACAUUUUCGGAUUAAAAGGAUGGGCUACUAUUGGCCUACUAUGGUCAAAGAUUGCAUAGAAUAUGCUCAAAAAUGUCAAGCUUGCCAGUUUCAUGCAAAUUACAUUCAUCAACCACCCGAGCCGUUACACCCGACCGUUGCUUCUUGGCCUUUUGAUGCUUGGGGCCUUGAUGUUGUGGGGCCAUUACCAAAGUCGUCCGGUCAACACUUAUAUAUAUUGGCUGCGACCGACUACUUUUCUAAGUGGGCUGAAGCCAUACCGCUCAAACAAGUUAGAAAGGAAGAUGUGGUGAAUUUUAUUCGUGUGAAUAUUAUUUACCGUUAUGGAGUUCCCCGGUACAUUAUCACUGAUAAUGGAAAAUCCUUCUCCAAUGGCUUGAUGGAUAAGUUAUGUGAGAAAUUUAAUCUCAAGCAACGAAAGUCCUCCAUGUAUAAUGCCCCCGCCAAUGGUCUCGCAGAGGCAUUCAACAAAACUUUAUGUAACUUGUUGAAGAAAGUGGUGGCAAAGUCAAAGAAGGAUUGGCACGAAAGGAUAGGCGAAACUCUUUGGGCCUAUCGCACCACAUACCGAACUCCGACGCAAGCCACACCAUAUGCCUUGGUCUAUGGUGUAGAAGCUGUUCUGCCCCUUGAGCAACAAAUUCCUUCUUUGAGAAUUGCUAUCCAAGAAGGGCUCACGGAGGAAGAAAAUGUUCGCCUGCGCCUUGAAGAGUUGGAAGCUUUGGAUGAAAAGAGAUUGGAGGCCCAACAAAAUCUGGAGUGCUAUCAAGCCCGUCUCUCUAGAGCUUUUAAUAAGAAAGUUCGACGUCGCUCCUUUCAAGUCGGGGACAUGGUACUUGCCGUUCGAAGGCCAAUAGUUAUGACUCAUCGCACUAAAGACAAAUUCGUCUCUAAAUGGGAUGGGCCGUACAUUGUUCGAGAAGUCUACACGAAUGGUGCGUACAAAUUAGUGGACAAAGAUGGCGUGAAAGUUGGUCCUAUAAAUGGAAAAUUCGUGAAGUUAUACAUGCCAUAAAAAAAAAAAAGUGAACUACUCCACGACGCAUGAGUCUAAACUGCCUGUUGCUCCAGACCCGCAUGAGCUAAAACUGUGGAUAACAACCACCAAUAGUGUAGCACGUGGUUAAACUGCUGAAACACUCCACCAAAUCUAAGGUGGAAAACAAAUGGAUACUCCUGACCCGCAAGAGUUUAAACUGUGAAUGGUAGGAACUACGUGUGACUUGAUUCCCUGUUGGGAUACGUAGGCAGCUUAGAGGGCAACUUCUAAGUUCAGUUACAAUUAUAUAAAACUAAAUCCUUUGUCCGGAUGAUUCUUUUGAUAAAAAAAAAAAGGAGCGUUCAUCUUUAAGACAAUUCGAAUUAUUUUGUGACAUAUACUUGAAAGUGUAUUAUUCAGAUUACCAAAUUAUUUGGAUAAUUAUCUUUUCAAGUGUGAUCAAAAUUAUGCAAAGAUAGAAUUGUUCAUACUACAAUUGAUAGUCUAAAAUGGUGGCUAUCGAAAAAGCAAAUAAAGACGAGGACGUCUGCAAGAAUGUGAAAAAGAGAGAGCAAGUUUCAUUAUGAAAUGUUUAUGCACAUAGCUACACGCUUUGAGCAGGUAACAAAAGAUGAAAUUUGAAACAAAGUAAAAGAUUGCAACUAUUUCUAGAAUUCAAAUAACGACAGCUCCUUUUGGUUGCUUUCAAGUAACGCUUGCAUCUUGUCCAAAGUUUGACUCUCCUCAGCAAGUAGGGGCGGGGAAUUCUCGAUCUUUCGAACUUCAUUUUGUAAGUCGACCAUCACGCCUUGCACUCGGGUAAGAUCAUCUUGCUCUUCUCGUAGCAGUGAAAGCGUCUCCUUCCUGUGAGUAUCCAAGAACUCAAGUCGCUUCCUCAACUCUACUUCCUCGCGAUCAAUCUCCUUAAGCUUCAACAUGUGUGUUGAGAUCUUCUCUGCCUGUUGUCUCUCCUUACUCUGAGCGUCUCUAAGAUGUUGGGUAGCCGUAGAAAGCAACUCAUCAUAUGAUUCAGCUGGAAUUUUAUUUGAGAGAGAAGAUUUCACUGCAACGUAACGAGCUGCAUUUGCAAAGAAAGCCUUUAAAAGGCCUUGCAAAUUUGAGAUAUCCGCGGCAUUGAAGCUUUGCAUUUCCUCUAUGAUUUCGUUGGCUUUCAUUUCAAGUGCAGGCAUGCGCUCUAAGGCUGUUUGAGAUAUCAUCACCCUCAAGUUAUUCCACAACAUUUGGAUAUAGUCUCGACGGCAUGUUGAGAUCACAUUUUGGGGGCAAAAUUCAGAUACUCGAGGUGCCCUUGGCCACGAUGGUGGAUCGAAAAUUUUGAGUUUCUUUUGGGCCGAUGGAGUCAUAUGUUCCACCUUCUGUGGCGUGAUUUGCUGAAUCACAUUUCCAUCCUCUACUGCCUUUUUGGAAUUCUCACUAGCACCCAUUUGUUGGGUAGAACUGAUCACUUGUUUGGCCAAAAGUUCAAAUGCAGUAGGUCCUUCAACCGAUAUUUGACUUGGUUCUCCAUCAUCAAUGAAGAUCAAGUCUUGAUCAUCCAACUGUAAGGAAAACGUUAUGAGACAAAUCAUGAAUAUGAGAUUUAGUCUACAAGUAAAACAGAGCAAAAGCAUCCAAUCCAUAUUCUGUUGUGUAAGUUGUGGCAUUUUGUCAUGUUACAGUUUUUGUAUUUCCUCUGCCUGGCGAACUCAAAGAGAGGAGGUAACCUCUUAUUUCAAAUACUACUAGCACAAUCAGAACCUCAAACAUUGAAAUAACACACCUCUCAAACCUGUGAUGUCACUAGAUCCAGAAUGUGCCCGAAACAAGCAUCAAAUUUUGUAAAUGAGCAUUUGGAAAUAUGUUUCUUUAAAUUUUGAAUAACUUGCUUCAACUAGCAUUAUUUUCACUCGUCAAGGUUCAGAGUACUUAAACAGCAUUCAAUGUAUCUUGCAUUUCCUGGCACACCAAAAAGCACAAAGUUUAAUAACUAACAUACAUAAAAUCACGUAUGCAGCAAUAUGUCACACAAUCCCCAUUAACCGAUAAAGGAAGUUGCAACUUUCAAGUAAACAAUCCAAUGUGGGAACAUAGACACAACAUCCUAGUAAACAGUAAUUUGUCUAAACUAAUCUAAUAAUCAAUGAUAAGCUUCUUUAAUCAGCUACCACGGUUAACAUGCAAAAUGAUUCAAAUAAAAAGACUGACGAAGAAUUCAUUCGAAAGUCGCUCUUUAGAUAUAACUUUUGACAAAUGAUUUUCAGAAGUGCUUGUUCUAGUUUUGAACUUGUUGAUGUCAUGUUACCAGAUUCUGUAAGUACCUGAUUACUGGUUAUCACAAAUAAGGCCACCCUUCUUCAAGUCAUGACUAAAUAAAUAAAUGUGGGAUUAAAUUGAAUCCUUUGUCCACCCAGCCAAGGACAUUUUGUUAGUCUGACUUUAAUCUAUACAUGAAAGUCCAUGACUUACAAUACAACAUACAAAGUUAGUGAAGAUAUUAACAGAGCGGGAAGAAGACAGUACCCUAGCACCUGGAGCAGAGGGGGUGGCAAAUAGGACUGCACAAACAGCUCCUAGUGGGGCAAUAGUCAUUGAAAUUCCUUUUGGUGCCAAUAUUUGGUCAAUCUUUCCUAGUAUUGCCAUUGCAGCAAACGCCCCUGAUUUGUACAUAAAACUUCAACCAUUAGUCCUUUACCAACAUAUUACCAUCACUAGCUAAUCAAUGUAUAUCAAUAUCAGAAAAAGACAACAAAAAGAAGAUCAUAUCCUAGAACAUCCAAAAUACGCAUCAUACUUUCUAGCUACAAAAGCAGUCACAAUUGAACUUUCUUGAUAGAUAAAAACAAUAACUCAUUACACUACCAGGCCUUUUAAAGAACAAGAGAAAAAGUCUACUAUAAUAAUGCUUUUGUCUUGCAGGUGAUAGUAAAAUUGAACAAUUGAUUCUGUCAAUUUUUUUGUAGUGUGUAACCUGCAGAAGGCCAGAAAAUGUCGCUGAGGGAAGGAGCUUGAGUGCCCUUUUGAGGUGCCCAACUAUCCCAGAAUGGUGCAGGUACAUUGCUUGAUGAUGAUGAUGAUGAUGCUACAAUUCUGAGCUCCCCUUUUCUUCUUACACUUGUGAAUCUCUUUCCAUCAUGAGAAUGCAAUCCAAGUGAAGUUACAAGAUUGCAGAGUUUCGUUUGCUUCUUAUUGCUCUUGCAGCUAUAGAUGUUACUGCAAGAAUGUACUAUUAAUUGUGAAUUCAAUGGAGGUGCUGAUGAUGAAACUGGUGCUGGUGGCUUCAGAAGAUAAUUCUGCAACCCAUUUCGUUGAGUUUCUCUGCUGAUGUGAUGAUGUUGGCUGGCUGUUUCGAGGGAAGACUCUUCUGUUGCAGAAAUGGUCGGAGAAAGAAAGAGACCGUUUGGGAUGUUGAAACUCGAAAAGGGCCGCCUUGGGAUGAUCGAAAGGCCAUCGUUGGAUAAGAUGGGGUCCUGAAAUCCCCCCAAAAAAAAAAUCCAAAAUAUUGUGUGUAUAGAAGGAUAAUUUCAGAAACCACCCUUAAGGUUUCUCACAAUAUCAUAUAGCGCUUCUAAAGUUUUAAUAUCACUUGUCUUCCUUGUUUUUAAACUUUUGUGACAUUGUCAACCCGAUUCAAAAUAUAAUACUAUAACAUUCAGAUUUGGAGUAUAUAGAUUAUUUUAUUUCAAAAUUUCCCUUUUGUUAUGUUCUUUUAACUUUUAUGACAAACUAAUUUGAAAUUCCUCAACAUUUAAAAAUUUACCAAUUUACUUCUUUAAUGGAAAUUAUAUAGUUUUUUUAUUAGGGUUGGGAGAUCCUUUAAGAAAAUUUAUUUUAUAAUUUGGACAAAGGAUGUUAAAGCUUUACAACUUAUGAAUAAUUGACAAAACACAUAAAAAUCAUCUAUUAUACUAUAUAAAUGAAAUAACUUUUUUUUUUUGCAUCGUGAGUGCAUUUCCAAUUAAUGUUUUUUACCCAUUUCAAACAAUUUAUAAAUAAAAUUUUAAACACUUUUUCUUUUCUUUUUUUUUUUAAAAAAUAUUUCCAGGCCAUCGUUAUAGAUAAAAAAUGAUAAUGCUAAAUAAUUUAUAAAAUUUCUUAAAUUAACUCAAAAAUAGUUAUAUAAAAGGAAAAAAUUUCUUUAUUUGGUAACCUAAAAGACACCUAAUUAGCAUAUCAAAAAAGUAAAGGUGGAACCAACGUUAAAGUUUUAAAAUCAUAAUUAAUCCCCUAAAUUGCAACACUUUAGUAGAAUAAAUCUACCCUUCUGCUAAAAUGAUCGACCCCCUAUUGUAGCACCAAAUAAUUGAACCCUAAAGAAGACAAAAAUAAUUUUCUUUUCCUGGUUUGAAAACAUUUUAAAUGAAUGUUUCCGGAGAACAAAACACAUAGUAGAGAUUUAACAAGGGAAGGGGAGACGACUGAUGAGAGGGACGACGAGUGGGUAGGAUAAAAUCCGAUGCAUAUGAUAUAUGUAUACCCUUGUCUAAACAUAUAGUUUAUUUCACACUAUUAGCUAGUGUGGCCUUAUAGGUGGCAUGUUAUAGAGUAUUACAGAUCUGAAAAAUUAACAAAAAUUUUCACUAUGAAGAUCCAAAUAUAUUCAAAUAUUAAGUCGAACAUUGCAUCUCCAAGAACAUCAGUGAAUAUCUCCAAUAAACGUUCCAAAUACUUGACCCUUUUUCAGGAAUGAAAUCAGAUCUUAUGUGGUGCCUCCAAUCCUCAUUCUUGACAGCCUAUGGUUCCGGAGGAUCCUUAUACAAGUGGUGGCAAAUUGAAACAGCAAUCAUUCUUUCUUUCAUCAAAAAGCAUAAUAAGUUUAUUUAAGAUUCAACGUAAUCGUUAAGAAAUAAAACCGCCAUCAACAGCUAGGUUAGUCCCAGUAAUACAGGAAGACUCAUCUGAAGCAAGGAACAGAACAGCAUCAGCCACAUUUUUAGCCUUUACGUUCAUCCCUCUCAAAUUUGGAAGCUUGAAAACCUCUUCUAGUUCCUCGACAGUCAUGUUAAAGGCCCGACGAGCCGUCCGCGUCGCCACCACGUAAGGCGACACACAGUUCACCCUGAUUCCAUGCUCUCCGAGCUGCUUACUGGCGCAUCUCAUCAGCCCCAACACCGCAUGCUUAGACAUGCGAUAGUCAGUCCAAUUUUCAGCACCACGGGUUGCUGCAACGCUAGCCAUGCAUACUAUGCUGCCCUUGAUGCUCUGAUCUAUCAUCGCACGGGCUGCAUGUUUCAAGCAACUAGCCAUGCCACCAACAUUGACGGAGAAGAGAUUGUAGUACAUCCCGGAUAGAUCAAGGUCAAGAACUUUCUGAGCUGAUUGGCUGAAUAUCCCUCCGUUGCUGAACAUGAUGUCAAGGUGGCCAUGAGUCUUUAAAGUCAUUCAACCAUGGCUUGAACUUUGUCUUCGAUGGAAACAUCACAAUGGAUAUAGCUGCAUAGGUUUGAGCCAAUUGAUUCUGCAACUUUUUGGCCCUUCUCGUCCUCGAUAUCGCCAAUCACGAUUUUUUGCCCCAUGGGUGCAGAGAAGUCAUGUCGUUGCCUCCCUAUACCGCUUGCCCCACCGGUGAUUAUGGCUACUUUGCCUUCUAAUUUUUUCUUUUGUAGAGAGGGCUCUGCCAUUUUUGUUUUUGGGUGGAGGUUGGAAUUUAUUCUAGACCUUGAGAAGAUGGAGCAAGAAAGAUGCAACUAGCAUGACAGUGACUGCCUUUAUUUGCUAGCAGAACAAGUAGCCAAAUGGUAAAUGAUAUGCAAAAAAUGUAAUUGGUCUUGAUCAUUGCGGUUGCAACCAGCUUUUAAUAUGCGCAGUGCCAACUUGUGGGAUAACUCUUUAAGGUAUAGUGGCAUAUUUUGUAAACUCCAAGAGGAUGAAUUAUAUGGCAGACCGUUAGUAAUGGUUCUUUCCAGAAACGGCAAGAAACGAAAAAGUCAAGUGGCCCUACGAGCUAUCCAAAAUAAGCUAAACAAUAUCACAAAGUACAAAAACAAGAACAUGCUUUUGAUCAGGAUCCCAUCCUAUCCUAUCUUAUCCCAUCCAUCCUUCCAAGAAUCCAAUCAUUGAUUCACUUCCUAAAGGAAUCUUUCAACCAUUUUUAGCGUUUUAAACUCGAAUUGAGAAGCGAAGCAGUCUGAUUAACGGGUAAAGAGCAAAACCAUGUAAUAGUGAACCAAUUAUUGGAAAAUCAGAUGACUCAGAUGAAUCGGCAGUAGUCAUAAAUUUCGGCAUAGAUAAAGGGAAACACUGAGACACAUGCAAGUAUAUACGAGUAUCUAACGCUACCCAGAUAGCAUAUACCGUGCAUAACAAUGACUCAUGAAUGCAAAUAACCCUUAGUAAGCUCUGGUUCGUUUGGAUUAGUUGUUUUUGGGAUAUUUUUGAAAUAAUUUAUUGUAACAAUACAUAUGAAAAACUUUUACUGUAAAUAUUUUUGAUGAUGUUUUUGGGAUAUAUUUUGAAGUAUUUUUAAAAUUUAAAAUUUUAGAAUAUUUUUUUAAAAAUUAAUACUACCAUCUAUCAUCACCACUGAUCACUGCCACCACCCCUUCGUCUUCUUCUUCCUCGCUCUCUUUCUUCCUCCUCCUCUCUCUUUCCCCUCCUUCCCUCCCUUUUUCCACCACACCCCACCUCUCCCCUCCUCUAAUACAUGGCCUCGAUGGGUGUGGUAGGAAAGGGGAGGGGAAGGGGAAGAGAGGAGGGGAGGAGGAAAGGGGAGGAGAGGAAAGAGGAAGAGGAGGAAGAGGGAGGGAGAAGAAAGAGGGGGAAGAAGGGGAUGGUGGAUGGUGGUGAUAGAUGAAAAAAGAAGAUGGUGUAAAUUUUGUGUAUACUUUUUAAUUUUUUUGUAUAUGUUGCACCCCUUUUUGAAAAUAAAAUAAAUGAUGUUAAAAAAUGAGUUUUUGAUUUUAGAAAAUAAAGAAAAAGAGUCUAAAAUGGGAUUUAAAAUAUCCGACGGUUUAGGACCAAAAUAACAGUCUAAAAGGGAUUUUUAAGAAAAAAUAGGAGUCGCCACUUAUUGAGUUUAGGUGUACCAAAUCACUUAAAAAUUUUUAAAUAAAUAAAUAAUAAAUAAAACCCUUUUUAGACUACUCCAAAUCUUUGAAAACAAGAGAAAAGAGUUCGAGAGUCACAGUUGAAGAAGGAAAGACAAAGAUUUGAUAAGUUCGAACCUAAGGCAAUCUAGCCAAGGUUAGUUGCGUGAUUUAGUCGAAAAUUUUCCUAAUCUAACUUAUAAAUUUUAUCACAUUAGAAUUCUUCUAUAUGGAUGCGUAUCUAGACUUAGAGGUCACGAAUAUGCAAAAGAUGAGACUCAAAAGAGGAAAUUAUAAUAUAGAUAAAUAUACAUGACUUAAAAGAGGGAAAUGCAACAUAACGGGUGCGGAAAACUAAGAUUCAUGAUUCAAUUUUUCUUUUAUAAAGGGGAUGAGAGCGUGCUAAGGCUAAAAAAUCAUACUCGUUCAUUUCCCAUAUUUGAAGGAUGACUAAUUUAACUUAUGCAAACAAAUGGAUUAACCUACUUCUAGUUUCCUAAAAUGAGAUGCAAUUCUAAAUGAUAUGGUCCAAUCACAUAGAGGGUAAGAGAAUAAUAGUAGGGGAAAUAUCAUGCAAAUGAAAUUAAUCUAAAAAUAAAAAUGCAUGAAAUGUAAUAAAUGUCACACAAGGUAUGAAUUUAGCACAAAAAACGGCCUAAAGAGUCUAGUACUGGACUAACUCAUUUCUACAAGUCCUCUUUAGUAUUGGAAUAUUGAGAAAUCGGAAAGAAAGAACAAAAUUAGCAUUGGAAUAGUGUGGUGACAUCAUGUAUUUAUUAUAAGUAAAUAAAGCAUAUAAAGUAUAAUUAAAGCAAAUAAACACAUAAAGCACAUAUAUCACAUAACACAUAGGCAUAAUGUCUAAAUGCAAAAUCCUAAAGAAAGCAAAAAAAAAAAAACACACAUUAGUACACAAGCACACAAGCAUGCAAACAAAUAAGCAAAUGAAACCUAACUAUUACAUUAAGGACUCUAACCACAAUUUAGAAGGGGAAUUUUUGGAAAUAAUAAACCUAUCUAUUACAUUUAUCUAACUAAUUACAUUUUUGAUAAAUAUAAAAUCUACCUAUUACAUAGCCUAACUAAAUACAUUUUUUGGGCAACUAUCUAUUACAAUUUGACAUUUAAAUGCUUCCCAAAUAAUCAUCAAAAUUAAAUAGAACAAAUAAAAAUUUAAAAUGAAUAAAAUGAGUAAAUAAAAGAAAAAGCACUCAAAACAUGCAAUCACACAUAAAAAAACACAUAGGAGCACAUAAAAGAAUUUAAAAUAAUAAUAGAAGGUACCUCCCUUGAAGUAGUAGUUAAAUAAGGUGGAACUUGCCCUAUUUAUAUUUCAAAAUCAACAAAAUAGUCAAGACACCAAUUUAAUUAACAAUUAAAAAGAAAAUGUAAACAUGUAUCAAAUUCACUUUUACUAUAAUAAGAAAAUAUGAACAAACAUAGAAUCCCUAAAAUUUACAAAUUAAAUGCAUUUAAAUGAAACAUGAUUAACAAUUAAAGGAGAUAAACAAAUUAUACUUAAGAAAUCAAAGCUAUUAGGGACCUAAUUAUAAUAAUUAAAAAGUUUUUAGGAUCAAAUUAAAAUUAUUAUGAAGAUUAGAGGUCAAAAUUAAUCAAAGAUAAAAUUUAGGGACCAAAUUGAAAUUAAAUUAAGAACCUAAUUGAAAGAAAUCCAAAGUUUCAGGGUCACAAUAGAAUUAUGCAAAAGAAAAGGGACCUAAUUGUAAAUACGUUUCUGGUUUGUUAAGCAACAAGGUCACUGGGCCAUUUCUGAUUAUUUUCGUGAGCCAAACUUGCCUUUGGCCCAAUGGAGAACCCAUAAAAAGAAGGGGCUAGCCCGUUUCUGAUUAAGCAAAAUCAACCAAAAAGGGUUGGGCUUUAACUACCAAAGCCCAUGUCUUUACCCAAAGAAAAUGAAGGCAAAUCCACUCUCCAAAACGCAACAAAUAACCCUAGCCCAACUAUUAAAUUGUUUUCCUAAACCCAGAGAGAGAACAUGUCCUUUUAGGAAAAUAAAUUCAACAAAAUUAUUUAGGCCUUAAUCCCACCCUAAAACCCAGAAAUAAUUUACUCAAAACAUUACAUAAAAUGUGCAACAAAGUCAAGGCUUGAAAAGUAGGGAUGACAAUGGGCCGGUCACCUGCCCCUCGGGGGACUGUCGAGGCGGUGGUUGGGGCGGGGGCGGGUAAUUUUAUUCCCCCGUUUAGAAACGGGGCGGGGGACGGGGAUACAUUCCCCACCCCAACCCCGCCCUGUUCCCCGCAAAAAAUAUACAUACAUAUUAUAUAUACACACACACACAAAUAACAAAAGAACAAACGAAGAAACGAACCUCCAUACUUCUCACACCCUCUCUGCACAUAAUAACAAACCAUGACCAGAGUUUGAGUCUUCCCCGCAGACUUCUCAUCAUCAUCAACAACUAGUGCAUAAUUUAAACUAGGCCACUAGCUACUUUGCCAACAUGAGUAAAAUUGUCAGCGUCUACCAAAUCAUCAGCAACAUUGAAAUGCAAACUAGGCUCACCGCAACUUUGUUGAUAUUUCUGCUUCAAUCGUUGUUGAUUACCAGCACCAAAUCUUCUAGAACAUCCAGAUGCUGGGCUCUUCAGAUUUGCCCUCAAAUCAGAAGAAAGUUUCGACUUUUGGGAAGAAGUUUUUGAAGCGGGCCUUCUAGCGGAUUGCCACUGGGAGAGGAAAGAAGGGCUCUUUCUAAAACUUUGUGAAGACGAUUUUUUGGGCACAUCAUUUUCGUUAGCAAUUGAUUUAUUAGAUCUAGGCCUGGCGGAAUUAGGAGUUGAUUUUGGGGCUGACUUGGCAACAAGGGGUUUAUUUCUGAGUUUGAAAUUGGGAUCCUUCUAAAGAUGGGAACUCGAAGAAGAAGAAGAGGAGCGAGGUCUUGAGUUUGACGUAGAGGAAAGCAGAAACUUGAGGCAACGGGGGACAGUGGGGAAACGGGGCGGGGGCGGAGCGGGGGGUGGGGGCAAGGUCCCCUCCCCACCCCCGUCCCAUUGCCAUCCCUGUUGAAAAGGGAAAAUUUGAUCCAUUUUUCACAAACCUUUGGGCCUUAGUAUAAUUAUGUAAAAGUCAGGAGGUAAAAGUGCAAUUUCCAAUUUUCUCCAUGCAAGCUGUUCGAAGCUUUUCUGCAAAUCUGGAAGCUUAUCAAACCCAAAAACCCUACCAAAAUAAUUUAACAAAUUUCGGAUCUAAACACGUGAGGCUAUGCAAUCUCAAACAUUAACACAAGAUUUCUAGUUCCAAACACAAGCACAUGAUCAUGCAUCAUGAACCAAGAGAGCAAGAUUUCUGAACUUUUACUUGCAAAUGAGUUGGAGCAAAGAGAGAAAAGUGAAUGAGGGUUACCUCUGAGGCUUAUAGAAGUCGAAAACAGCAGUGUAAAUUUCCAAGAAACGUGCAAACUUCACCCAAAGAGCAAAAACCAGGUUGCCACAGUUGUGCUAAGAGCUGUAAGGCGAGGACAUUGGAGCUCGAAUUCAAGGAAUUUAGGGAUGUUUUUUUGGGACGGUUUCAAGACAAAAGUUUCUCCUCUAACACUGUAUAUAUUUCAGAAAAAAUAAUAUCCUCAAAAUGAGGUCGGGAUUUGUGGAAAUAGGGUGACGAACAGGAUUGGUUCGUCAACCCUGGCUCAAUUUUCUGCCCAAAAAAAAAUUUGAGGAGCCCAGUUCGGGCUUCGAUUUGAGGGGAUUAUGGUGAUUAUCUGGGCAAAGUUUCACACAAAAUUCUUUCUCUCUAUCCCUAGAAGGUGCAGAAAAAAUAAAUACUCUAAAAAGAGGUAAAAUGAAAGAGAAAGUCAGGUUGGAAUGGAGCUGGUUCACCAGCUCAUUUUUCCAGAUUUUUGCAGAAGAACUCUUCCUUUUUCUCCUCUGUUUUCCUUUCUUUCUUUUCUCUUCUUCCGCCGUUUUUCCCAUAACCCUCCUUGCCCUAAAGCUGUGUUUUGUUCCUAUUUAAAUGAAACAAAAGCUCCUAAAAUCCUCCUCUCAAUGGUUGAGAUGAGGUGGGUUUCGUUGGCUCAUUUUGAGCCAUUUGAUGAUCCAUCUUCCAGAAAUUUCUUGAUACUUCUUGAUGAGUGAGGUGCAUUGUACUGAUAAUGCUUAGGAAAUAAAGAAAAGGCAGAAAAAUCGAACCAAAAUUUGUUCCAAAAAUGCCAGCUGCAUCUUCGUACUUGCAUGCUGGUUUUGUUGGCUUGAAGAAAAUUGCGCGCGCCUGUAGCCAAAAAAUUUUUUUUAAUAGAAAAACGGCCUUUUCUUCUUUCUUUUUCUUUUUUCUUCUUCUUUUCUUCUCUUUUUUUUUUGCUGUUUUUCUUGAUCCCCUUUAUCUUCUUUCUUUGAUUUUCCUACAAAAUCAAUCAAAUAAAAAUCAAAUGAGAUAAAAAUGAUUUUUCUUAGAAAAAUAAAAUAGAGAUAAAUAAAAAUAAAAAUAAAAAUGAUUUAUAAAAAUUUUGGUGUCUACAGUAUAUUUGGAGUUCCUUUUGAUAUAUUAUAUAAGUGUGGUGUUUUAUAGUUGUUUUUGUUUAUGUAUUAUUGUAGUAUUGUAUAUGAAAAACUUAUUUUUCAAAAAAUAAAGAAUCCAAACAGAGCAUUUUUUCUUUGUUUAGACAUUUCUACAAACACUUGAUAGGGAAAUAAACCAUGAAUUACAAAAGAAAAUUUUUCUUUUUUUUUUCUUUGCUUCACAAGCUCGGGUAAAGGUGAACCCCGAAAUUUUUGAAUAGCAAUAAGAAGGCCCCUAUAGAUCCCAUUAAUUUUAGAUUCAAUCCAGUAAUUUAAAAUUCUGUAAUGAAAUGGGAGCUUAACUAAAGACAGGGGCAAGAGCUAGGUAGCAGGAACAAAGGAAGCGUGAAUGUCAGCAGAAGAAGGCGUGAUCACUGGACCAGAAGGUCAUCGAAGGCGUGAUUCUUUAAUUCAGCUGCUCUAACAGAAAUUCAAAAGCGCGGCAACUCGCAGAUGCAUUGGACACGUGUCUUAUUCUUAUUAGUCUAGCUAAUAAUCUGUUAGGAUUUGUUAACAUUAAAAGCAGGCCUGUCUGCUUUAUUUUGGUUAGCUUUUUGAAAUUAUUCUUUCAGAUUCAUCUGAAUUAGCUUGAGGAGCAAUCCUCAGUUUCCCUCCCAUUUUUCCUUCGAUCUUACCCCUUCUUAGCUAAAUCCAUUAUUUCUGUUCUUGUAAUUUUGAUUUCCAAGAUUCAAUUAAUGAAAGAUCAAGUUCAUUCGUUCACUGUUUCAUUGAUUCAUUGUUAAUUGGUUUCCUUUAUUUGAGCUUGUUUCCUUCUGAUUCCUGCAAACUCUGGCUUCUCUGGUUUCUGUACCAUAACAAAUUCAAAACCAAUCCAGACAAACCAAUGUUGUUUCAAUUGAAGACAAAACAAUGCCAAAUAGCAAUCAAUCUAGAAUCGAUGCUGCUGCGCCCUUGAGAUGUUGAUAUUCUCGUGUCGAUUGGAGAGAUUUUGCCAAAAAAAAAAAAAAAAAAAGCUAAGAUUGAGUAGCCUUUCCAUAAUCUACACUAAAGGUUGAUGCUAAUGGCCUUUAAAUACUUUGCAGAAGUGUUCUCUAUUCUAGCUAUACUAGGAGAGGAACACCGCACUAUGUGCGGUGUGAAGUUACAAGUUUAACAUGCCCAGUAGGAAGUUAAAAGGUUAAUAUGACCAGAGCCCUCAUUGGCUUUAUUUUCCAACUAAAAAUUAUUUUUUAUCAUUUUCUGUAUGUGGUAGCUAAUGAAGCAUUUUGUCAACAUUUCAAUUAAGAAAAGAAAUAAUACUAAUAAAGUUAAGAGCAUAAUCACACAUAAUUGAGAUAAGCUCUCCAACUGUAUGAUGUAUCUCAUUAGCUGUGAAAAGUAAAAUUUAAGAUAUAAGAUACAUUAAUCCAGAAAUAUUGACUGCUAUAUCUAAAAAAUGCCUCUCGUCUUUUCUUAUCUAGCGUCGCGUUCAAUCAGCCAAUUAUAGUGGAACUAUGCAUUAGUGGUCAAAAUUUAAAAAAAAAAAAAUCAUCACACAGUUUGAUAUCUAUACUAUAGCAAGUGGCUGUUGAAGUAAAUAAUGACUUUUGGUAAAGAUAUUGGAAAGGAUAAAACAAAGUAUCAAGCAUUCAUGACAAAAUUCCAUGAGCUUCCAUUAGCUUCCAAGUUCCAGCUAUCUAAAUAUCAAUCAGAUCUGCCAAGAAGGAAUCAUAUUAGAAUUUAAUAACAUUUUGUGUAAAUAGUAGAAUGACAAUCUUGUUAAAUCACAGGUAACGCAUCCGUAGUUUUUGCCACACUUCAUGGCAAAAUUGUAAGGAAAUACUAAAGCAUGAAAUAUAAAACAAAGUCGUCAAGAACACAUUCCCUACUCCUAAGUUUGAGCCACCAAUAUAUUUGAAUAAUACCUCUUGCCAUUCAACUUUUUCUCAAACAUUAAUGUUGGAUAUAUAAAUAAAGAAUAGAAGCCAAUAAACAGCAGAUGCAUUUUGAGCCACCAUCUUAUUUGGAUAAAUACCUCCUGCCAGCCAAUUUUUUCUCAAACAUGAAUGCUAGGUAUAAAUAAAGAACAGAAAAUCAAAAACAACAUAUGCAUUUGAGCCUAUAAAUCAUGUAGUUAUAUUUCAUUCAUGCCACAUUUUCGCCAAGACAACAUGAAUGAACAUAGGACAUCAAUUUAAACUGAAAGAAAAUUUUCUCUUCUUUCUUAAAAAGCUCAAUGACAAAACAAAAAGCUCCAAAAAAUCAAGCAAAAGCUACAGAGAAAUUUCAAUAUAUUAGUUUGGUAUUUGUUAGAGUUUAUUUUUUAAAUCCUAAAACGCAAUUUAUUCUCUAUGUAAUUCUUAGAUUUUAAUUUUCUUUUUUACAUAAAGGUAUUAGAAAAUUCUAGUUGCCUAAUUGAGAAAAGGUGGAGAAGUAAGGAGUAAUCACCACCUAUUGAUCAUUCCCCACUAUACACAAUUUGGCUAGAAAUUUAGGGCGGCAAUAUUUAAACUUACAACUGGGAUGGAGCACAUGAACAUUUUUUUUCUACAUACAAAGAUCUUAUCUUAAGGUUCUUUUAGCCAUUUCAGUUACAUCAUUCCGACUACUCAAACAUGAAAGCAUUAGGAGGGACAGGACAGCGAGUAACAAAAGCUACAAUCAAUCAAUGUACAUCAUUUUCUUAGAAAUUACUACAUCUAAAGAGUUAUUCAAAAAUGACACCAUCAAAGUAGAGAAAAAAUUUAUAAUGAUUUCAUCAGUAAUCAUAACUUUAAAUGAAAUAGGGUGAAAACAAAUGCUAUUAAACCUGGACUAAAGAUCUUAAAGGAAUGGAGCAGCCAAAGAAGACUUGCAACCUCUUAGUGAUGAAUUUACUAAAAUAGGUAAAAUACUAAAGAAACUGACUCUAAAUCAAAAGGAAAUGCAGUAUCUUCACAAAAUUUCAUACUCCACUUUUUCCAAGAAUAGUAAAUAGGGUAAAGUGACCAGAAAAUUAUAGUAAAAUGCUAAGAAAAAAUUGAAGAGAACACUAAAACAUCAAAAACAUACCAUUAAGGCUAAAUGGAAAAAUUAGCCUCCUUUUUGCUUUGUUCCUUCAUCUAACAAAAAUUUAGUAUAAAUAAAUAUCAGAAAAAUCAAAUUUAUUAGGAAAAAUAAAAGGAAAAAUGAAAUCAUAUUAACUUUUCUCUAUGGGAAAAAGACAGAGAGUCGAUACAAUGCUCACCUUGAGAAAAGAAUUCGCAAAUCUUAACAUCUCAAGCUACAACAAACAUUUGAAACUUAUGAGAGAGCAUAAAUAAUUAAUAUGUUAGACCAUCAAAUCUAUCAUAGGAUAUGUGAGACCACAGUAAGGAACAAGAAAAUGACAAUAAAGCAUAAGGAUUAGCAUGAAGUGAAGAAAUUGUGUUUCCCAAUUAAUAACCAAACAUUAAGCACUAAACAUCUAAAAUGCAUUUCCAAAAUUUCACAUCCAGUUCAUACCGAUGCAAUACUUUUUCAAGUUGAAUAUAUUCCUUUUGUAAUAAAAUCCAAAGCAUAACAUGCAAAGGACACAAAGGAAGGGAGAAAGGUGAUUUGUUGCUUUUAGCCAAGAAAAGAUCAGCCAAAAAAGUGCCAGAAAAAAAAAACCAAAGGCAAACCUGAAGUGAACAUUUUGCCAAAAACUGAACUAUUCUUUCCUUCUUCAAGAUAUGCAUUAGUCUUCAUUAGUCUUCAAGAUAUGCAAAUCAUGUCGAUCUAGGUAAUAAGAAAACAAAACAAAAUAUUAACAGAUCGUGAUAUGUUUAGCGAGUUAAGGAGACUUGCCUGUUUUUUUUUUGGAACACCCUUUUAUUUCCUCUUUUUAGAGGCCGAGGGAGAUUUUUUGUGGCUCCCAAAAGAAAAAAAAAAAGAAUUAUACAGAAAAGUUAUGGCAAGCAAAAAAGGAAGAAAUUAUACAUAAAAAAGGGAAAACAAAGGUGAGAAGAUAAAACCUGUGAGUAGUCAGAUGAAAAAAUAGUGAGCGAUCUACAAGAUCACACAAAAAAUUGUGGUCCAAAAAAAGUAACAAUUGAUGGUCAAGGAUGCAAGUAAUAAUGCAUCAGAAAAUGCAUGUCAAGGAUGUACAAAUUAAAGGAUAGAAUAUAGAGAAAAGGGUAAAAGAAAAGCAAAAUUAGAAUAACUAACCAGUGUGUAUGAAGAAGUCCAACACCGCACAACUGAAUAAUAGCUGAAGCUAUCAAAGAAACCACGAUCAUGUAAAAGAUAAUAAGAAAGGUGACAAAAAAACAGGAGAGUAAAAAGAGAAGCUGAUUCGGUGAUAAUAAUUUUGAAGGGACAGAAAAAAAUUAAAAUGGUCGAACCAGUGCUUGAGAAAAACAGAGAAGCAAGCAAGAAAUAAGAAACAAAGCAGUAUGACAGCAAUUCCGAAAUAUUUGAAGAAUUAGAGAAAAACAAAGGAAAGCGAAGCGUAAAACCAACAUGCUCACCAGGAAGCAACAACGGCAACACCAGCGCAAACUAAAACCAAACCAAUAAAUUGGGAAAAAGGAAGGUUCAAAAUAGCUAAAGAAAAAUGAAGAACAAUAGAAUAGGGAAAAGAAAGCAGUAGAUGCAUCGUUACCACUGAUCAUGAUGAUGAUCAGUAGAAAAUCUGGUGUGGAAAGCCAGAGAAACUGCAUAACCAUUGCAUCAUGAUCAGUAGAAAAUCUGGUGUGGAAAGCUAGAGAAACUGCAUAACCAUUGUGCAAAUGCAAUACACAAAACAAUGUCAAUCAACGGGAGCAAAAGAGCUGAUAGUUGACAACGGGAAAAAGUUAUUUUUUUGCAGAUUUACAGACAUAACCCAAGUAAAGGACAAAAAGACUAUAAGAGCUUUUGAGUGGAAGCGUAAAUACAGUCAGAAGGGAUGGGUAAUAUAGUGAACAGCUCAGGUACAAUCAACCGUCAACAAAAAGAGGCUGAUGACAAGAAGUGUGAAGCGGCGGAUGAAGAAAUCGAGAAAGUAUGCAUCAAAACCAAACAAACAAAAUCCGGCUACAAACAAAUGGUCCAUAAAUUAAUUGCAAAGAAUUGUAAUUAAGCAUGUUAAUUUAGAAAAUAGUUAAUUACGAAUCAAUUAAUUAAGACCACCAAAAGCAAAGAAGAAAAGACUAAUGAGAAGCGUUUCUGAAGCUGGAGCAAGGUAGACAUAUUAAUUAAAUAACAAUUAAUUGCAACAAAUUGGUAAUUAAUUGCGAUUUGUUAGGCAACAAAAAAGUAACGUUAUUAAUGAAUUAAUUAACAAUUAAUUGUUAAAAAAGGAAACCAAAUGUGAUUUGAUUGGCAUGCAAAAAAAAGAGGCUAAAUUUUGGCUAAUAACUACACAGAAUUGGUAAUUAAAAGCGAUUUGUUGGGUAAAAAAAAUAUUAAUAAUUAUAAAAACAGGUAAGUAAUGUGAUUUAUCAAGCAAUAAAACUGCGAAAGUAUAACUUAAUUUCGGUGAAAUUAAUUGCAAAAAAUUUAAUUAAACCUGAUUUGUUGGCCAACCCAAAGUAAAGAGGACAUUUUUUAAUAAAUUUAAAAAAAGGUAAUUAAAUGUGAUUUUUUGGACAAGCACACAAAGCUCAUUUUUUGUUAAUAAUUGCAAGAAAGUUAUUAAUUAAACGUGAUUUGUUGGGUAAAAAAACGACACUAUUAAUUAGUUAUUAACAAUUAACUGUAAAAAUUGGUAAGUAAAUGCGAUUUAUUGGGUUAAAAAAUGGAGCCAAAAUAAUAAAUAAAUAAUAACAAUUAAUAGUGGGGAAUCAAUAACAAGCUGCCAUUUUGACGUCCAAUAACAAGCAGUUCCAAUAACUGGCACGUCUUUUUUAUGGCACUUUCAAGCACGAGCACUUCCAAUAACAAGUUAUGUUAGUAUAAUAACUGGCAAUGCCAUUUGGAAGUGCUUGUUAUUGAGCUGCCAUUUUUUUCCAAUAACAAAGCACUUCCAAUCCAAUAAAAAAAAAAAAGAAAAGGAAAAAACCAAAGGCACGUGGGGCCAGAAUUUAGCGGCAGACUUCCAAGCCAGACGUCCAAGCAAAACAAAGAAAAAAAACAAUCGGCUGGACGACCAAUUCACGCGAGCGAAUUCACACGAAGCGACGACCACCAAUCGUCCAAUGGAAGCCUGCCACGUCAGUUAUCAGAACCCAAUUGAAAACCUCCCAUUCCCGCAUAGACUAGAUAUGUUAAUAAACAGGAGAACUGCCCAGUGCCCAUCAUCAAUUAGCGGUAUAUUUCAUCAUAAUACUGAAGUUCGUCUGCUAAAAGCUUUUAUUCUUUUGGGUUGGGCGAUUUAAAAUAAGUCUUACAUAUAGCCUACCAAUGCACUCUAAUCGCAAAUGGGAUUCGAAUACAAUUGCUCCUAAUAAAAAAAAUUUCAUUAAAUCUUGCGUGUAAAAAGUGCAAUGCUUAAUUUUACCGCAUGGAUGAUUCAAAAUAGAGUAAAUUACUUUUACUUCUUGCGAUUUCACGCUCGAUCACAUAACCCCCUAUAAUUUCAAUAUGACCACAUAACCCCCCUAUGGUUUCGUGGAAUGUGAAAAGUAGACGGAAACAUCCCUUCGUCACGUGAAGUGGCAGACACACACACAAAAAGUAUUACGAAAAUAAUGAAUAUACUUGAAAAAUUCCCAUAUUUUGGCCAGAAUUACCCUCAACCCUCACUAUCAUUAGUAUAUAGAGAAUGCAAGCCCUACAAUUUCCAAUUUGCCACCGUUCUUCCAUCUUAUCAAAAUUUUCUUUGUCUAAUACAUCUUCUAACACAUUAAUUGAAGGCCGGUGAAGAACUGGCUUCUGCAAGCACUGGCAAUGGAGGCAACAAGGAUUUAAGGUACCAAUAUCAAAAUGUGAAUGUGGCAAUAAGGCUGUGCUAAAGAUUGUUGAUUCGGAAAAAGCAUGUAGAGCAUUGUUAUAUUUUGUUUGUGAAAGCAAUCAGUAUGGGUUCUUUGGAUUGUAUCAUAAAGGAAAAAAUGCAACAAAGUAGUAGAACCUAUCCCACAAGUAGAGAAAUAGUGAGCAAAGACAGUUCCAUGGACAGUCCAAUUAUUGAGAGGCAAAAAAUGGAAGAUGGUUAUUAUUUGGCACAUAUGCAUGUUUUGGAAGCAAAUCUGAAUAUGUUAAAGAUGUUUAUGAUUACCUCUAUCGUCAUUGCAAUGGUUUCAUUGCUAAUCUCAAUGAAAACAAAAGCAGCCAAAAUUAGUGAAACACUCUCAUCAAAACACAGUCCAAGUUCAUACAUUUGUGGCCAUCUUGGCAUUGUUAGCUCGUAUAUUUGCCAACACAGAUGACACAGUUGGGGUAGGCUUUGGUAUCCUUGAUGUCCUCCUAGACUCCAAAUGUGUUUCACCAAUUUCGUCAGUAGCUUGAAAAGUGGUUUGAUUCACUUCACUUGCAACAGGUUGCAUCACCAAAAAACAUUCAAACAAGUUUCAGGUAAGUGAACUUUUUGGUUUCCAAUGUGAUACAAAUUUCAUCAAGUUAAUACCUGGGAGAUGGACUGAGGCACGUACAUGUUUGUCUCAUAAAUUUGCUUAAGAGGAGGCUGGGAUGGGUCCAGCAUGUGGGGUCUUCUUUUUUCUAUCAAGAUUACUAAUUACAUUAGCAGCAUUUGUAGUUGGUAUGGUAGUUGAAGCUUCAAUUCUCACAUCAAAUCCUUCUUGAACUCUAUGUUCAGCAUUGUUAACUUCUUGUUCAACACCAUUUGAAGGUACAACAGACCCUAUUGGACCCUAAAAUGCACCCAAAUUCAGUAAAUUAAUGUAACACAUAAUGACUGAAAUUAAUAUCAAAAUGAGUGCAUACUCUAUUGAACUUCCUAUUUGGAUGAAUUGGUUGCUUACAGCUCUUAGAAUUAUGUCCGGGCCUCAAACACCUUUUGCAAUGAGCAGUUAACCAUUUUCUUGUAGAUGUGGAUGAGGUUGUGGUUUCAUCAGCUUGCCUUCUCCUCAAAUUUUUAAGCCUCCCAGCUUGCUUUCUCACGAAUGGUGGAAGAAUUUGCUCAGCUUCUGGUGGCCAUCCCAAUAAUGCAUCGAUGUCAUAGGAGAAAUGUGGUAUUUAUACACAGCCAAAUAGGUGUCCUUGCUGUAGCACCUAUCAACAAAAUCUUCAGAAGAUAAUCUGGUUGUUUGAAUAGCUAUAACUCCAUGGGAACAGGGAAUUCCUGUUGACUGGAACAGUCCACAUGUGCUGGAUCUUUUCUUCAAAUCUACCACAAAAACCCUAUCAACACCACAAUCUACUUCAUAUUAGCCUGGAUGGGAAUAUUAAGAAAAAAAAAACCCUAGUUGAGCACCUGUUCUUCUCAAGUCUUUCUUGAAUAUUCGGGCUAAUAGCACCUCCAAGUUGUUCCAUUCUAGCCUUCUUAAUUUGAAUUAUCUUCAUUAGUUUCCUUUAUCUACUCAAACAUGCUGAUAAUGGCAAGUGACCUUGUUGGAAGUAUGUAGUUGAAAGAUUCAUUUAAAUUGUUGACUAAAAUGUCACCUUUACAGUCGUAUGUAAAGUAAGCCCUUGACCAUAAACCAUUCUGCUGCAUUAAGUACAUUUCCUGGUUUCGGAUCAGCCCUCUCCAAUGCAACCAUUGCCCUCUUGAAGUUAUGUAUGUUACCUGUAGAUGCUACUAACCAAAAGUGGUCUCUUAACUCCAUUCCUUUGAACCUCAACUUAAAGUUUUGAUAGAGAUGUCUAACACAAUAGCUAUUGGCAGAAUCUGAAAAAACAUUAUCGCCUUCUUCUUGUCCUUCGUCUUUUGUUAUCUUUGUCUUGUCCCCUACUUCUUCCUUUGAGUUCUAAAAGACUAAUUAUUAAAUGCCACAUCCACUAACUUUUUUUUUUUUUGCCUCUUCCUCCAAACUCCAAACUCCAAAUUUUUUUUUUUUUUGAAGUUGCAAUAUCUAAAUCCUAAAAAAGUGAAUUAAAAUUUAAACUCACAAUGUCUAAUUCUCAUAGACGUGAAUUUUGUAUAAUUUCAUAAUAUUAUGGUAUUUUUGGAUUGGAUUUAAUAUUAUUUUUUUUGGUAGAUAGAAUUGAGAUUGAGAUUAAAUUUAUUUGUUUCAACUUAUAAUUUAAAAAUUUUAUUUGUGAAAAUUCAAGUUCUUUGAAAAUAUUAAACUUUUCAUCAUAUAAAGUUUUAAAUUAGUCCAUUGCAUGUCUUAUUUUGUGCAUAUAUAUUUAUAUAAAUUAUUUUUUUAAAAUUCAUUAAACUAGGGUUGAACCGAUCUAAUCAAUUGAAUCUCGAUCCAAACACCUCGUCGGUUCAAUUAACGGUCCAAGUUUUAAAACAUUGGUCAUCAUCACAUCUUUCAACAUAUAAGGUCAUGUAUUUUAGCCCUUCAUAUAACUUUAGCAGUGUGUCAAUGUCCUUGUCAUUGUUAAUUUUGGCUACCACCACGUCCAAACUAUGAAAAGGAAUUUGAUACCAAAUCUCAAUUUGCUUUGCUUCUUUGUCUACUCUAGAAUACAAGUGACAUAGACAGGCUCUAGUUAACUUCUUUUAAGGUUAUAACCACUUAACUUUUCUAUCCUGUUUCCACUGUAUGAGAUCUCAGGUUCUCAUGUAAACCUUCCACCUAUAUAUAUGCAUGUUACCAGGGGUGGUCGUCAGCAUAUUUUUCAUGUUAUCAAAGCCUAUAGAUGACAAAAUGUCUGCAUAAGUAAUUGUCUUCUUCCAACUUGUCAAAAUAUAUAAAACACAUUCAUGUUUCAAGGACCAGCCAAUAAUACUACAUUAUUACCCCCAAUGAAUUUUUUUUUUUGUCGAUACGAUAGCUUUUUAUACUAUGGGAAGGGAGAGGGCUUGAAGAGGUCCUGGAAUAACCCGAAAAGGACUGAACUACCACUAAAUCAGACGAGUGCACUACACACCCGCUUAAAUUUUUUAAGUAAGAUCACAUUUAAUUAUGACAAAUUGAUGGGAGACAAAGUGAACAAGCCUUAAUGCAUUGGUGUGGUCACCAGUCCAAUGACUGGUGGUUACCCCAGUGGACCACUGAAUUUUUUUUUUUUUCCGAAACAUUAGAAAUUUUAUAUCACAAUCAAGCUAUACACUGUUGGAGCAAGGGCUCCUAUUUUAACAUUAGUGCAAUUAGCACUCUGGGGUGGAGUAAUUCCACUCCAUGUCACAAAAGUUUAGAAGAGCAAUUUUGCUCAAACUAUAGCAUAAGCUAUCAAAGGACCACUGAAUACUAAACAUCAACAUCUGCUUAGGGACCACAGUGUUACCCAAAAAUAAACAACUGAUAUUACUUUAUACCUACUACUUCACCAACUUUUUUUGGCAGAAUUUGUUUAAUUACAUGCAUGUGUACACAACAGUAGAAUACCCGACUAGUGAAAUAACACAAAAUUUGAUAUGCUACCGACAAAUUUUAGACCAUAACAUCAUUCCAUAUCAUAGGGAGUUAAGAAAAUUAUCAUGAAACCUUGGAUCUGCAAUUUAAAAAAAUAUGCUAACACCAGUACGAAAGCUAUUUAGCCAUUCAAAUUUCAAACUUCCAAAUUCAGACCUUGAAAUACCAAAACUCUAAAAUCGCUAAAUCAGAUUAAAAAAGAAAGUAGUAUUACUUACCAAAUCAGUGUUAUGCGAUGUUUUACUACUACAGAAAACCCUUGAUUCGAUAUUAGCUCCAACUUCGAUCUUGCUACGCAGCCCUUUAUUGUUGAUUCUCUUUCGGUUUUUCACUCUCUCUCUCUAAGAAGAAUAGGAGAAAAUUCCUAAGCGUUCAAGGAUGGUUGCUUGAUCUUAUUAUUUGGUAUAUACAUGGGGACAUUUUAGAGAAUUCAUAUUUAGACGUUAUGGAGGAUGUUUCCGUCCACAUUCCACAUUCCAUGUAACCAUAGGCAGGUUAUGUGGUCAUAUUGAAACUAUAGGGAGUUAUGUGGUCGAGCAUGAAACCACGGAAGGGGGGUAGAUAGUAAUUUACCCUUCAAAAUUAAGUUCACAAACUUUCAAAAUGGAUGCUCUUUCAUACGACCACUUUGGACAAGGGCAUCCAAUGCAUCGAUAUUUUCGAUCCAUGUAACUAUAGUUCUGUUGGUCAAGAAAGAACAUUUAAAAUCCUACCCGCAGGAUCUAAAAUCUGCUAAAUGUGAAACUUGAAAGACUCCAAAAUAUGCAUUAUAUUUUGCUGUUAAUAGGUGCGGUGGUGGUUUAAAUCCCCUUGCAGUUCUGUUUUCCGUGAAAUAUUGGGUGCCCUUAGGUUAAGACUAUGAAGCACGAAUAGUGCCACUACUGGAAUCUUCCACUAGAGUAGCACUCUAUAUUUUGUACAAUAACAAAUCUUAGCCCGUGUGAUGUAAAAUUGACUUCGACACCUCAAAGGUGUAGAGUUCCUACUUCCUAAUCUAGGAAUUCUUCAGCUCCUUGUUUGAUCAUCUUGCUUAUUCAGGCAAUAUCUAUCAUACGGGACAGAAAUCUAAUCUUUGUCACAGAAAUGCUCCAGUUUGUGUAAUUAGAUGCAGUGUGUCCUAUAUAAUAGGGAAUCUAGGAAUUUUCUUUUUGAGAGUUUGGAGUCAAUAAGAUCCUGAACCCAUGUAAACGAAGACAUAUUAAUCAUUUCUAUUACAACACAAAAUGGAAUGCUAGAAUUUCAGCCUUUCUUGUUUGCAGAUUCCUGUUGAUAGCAUAAGUGGCUCUUCUGUGUGAAAACCUGUUCUACCUAGGGAUAAAAAUCGAAUCAAACUACUCAAUGUGUAGAUCGAGUUCGAGUGGACAGAAGCUCAUUUGAUCUUGGUUUGUCAACUAAUCAAGACAAGUCUGAAUGGUAUUUUGUAUUCAGUAAACUUUCAAACUCGACUCGAUUAUCAUAAAAGUAGAAUUUACAGGUUGAAAAUUCAAGUUACUUGAAUAAAUAAAAAUUCAUCUGAAUUCGCCUCAAAUAAAUAAGUAAAGCUUGAACAAAACUUUAAAUUUAUUAAAAUGAUCAAUCAAAGUGAAACAAAGUUGAUUAUUAAAAUAAUGAAGCUUGAUCAGCUUGAUUAGAUUCGUUGACGCCCUAGUUCUACCAAAGUAAAUAUCCUUUAGUAAUCUGGUCCACCUGGGAUUUACAGGAUACUAACACCGUAUACAAAAAUUAUCUGAGCUGAAACAUCAAAUCAAAAGGGUACCCAUUAGACAGCAGCGAGCGAGGUUAAAAAUUCCCCAUCACCAAGAUAUUUUCAAAACUACAGGGGCCACUUCUCUAGAAUUUUCACAUGUGACCAACAAAUUCUGUAAGUAACAACUAUUAUAUAUAUUUGGUUGAGACAAACAGUCCGUUAAAAUGCUCUUGAUGACAAGUACUUGAAAAUUACAGCAUUUAGAUUCCUAAAGACGCCACACCAAAGUGAUCAAACCAAGCAACUCUAAAACAUUGAAUUAUUUGGUUGAGAUUUACCUUUUCCCUGCAUCCUCGCAAAGGUUUUGCUUAAUAUUUUGAAACCAAAAGCUAAUGAUAUACUGUCAAUAAAAUGAUACAAAACCAUGGCUGAUCCAAAGAAGGUUUUCUGAAAUAUUGACCACAAUAUAUCACUGGCUCCCAAUACAGCGACUAAUUAAUAAGGGAAACCUCAUCUGAUGACAUCGACUUCGUUUGCAGACAAAAUCAAUCAAUUGUUUGGACCAGGAAGACUAAUCAAUCCUCCAUCCACCGACAAAUCAUGACCAGUGAUGAAUGCAGAGUCCUGAGAAACUAAGAACAGCACUGCUUCUGCAACAUGUCUAACUGUCAAGGCAAUUCCCUUCAAGCUAGUAAGCGGCCCGUAAACCUUCCCAAUAUCCUUUCCUCUUGUUCUUCGCACACAAGUAGAUGUCAACGGCGUUGCAAUGGCAGAAGGGGAAACGCUGUUUACUCUAAUUCCAUGAACUCCAAGUUGCUGACUCCCGCACCUAACUAGUCCAAGAACUGCAUGCUUAGCCAUUAUGUAAUCGGUCCGACUAACUCCUCCCCUGCUGGCUGCCACACUUGUUGUACAAACAAUGUUUCCCUUCACCCCCUGCUCCACCAUUACUCGUGCAGCGUGCUUUACACACAGACAGCCAUACCACGGGCAUUGAUAUCAAACAAACGAUCGAAUUGUGAGAAAUCGAGGUUAAGUACGGUCUGAUCAGAGGGACUUACUAUGCUGGCGUUGCUAAACAUGAUAUCAAGCUGGCCAUAGGUUUGAACCGUCCACUCCACCAAGGCCUUGACUUGAUUUUCAUCACUAACAUCACAAUGGAAAUAGCUGCACUGGUGUGAACCAAUGGAUUCAGUGACGAGUCGGCCCUUGUCAUCUUGUAUAUCGGCAACUACAACAGCCUUCACACCAUUUUCAGCAAAAAGAUGUGCUGUUGCUUCCCCAAUUCCGCUGGCUCCACCGGUUACUAUCGCAACUUUGCCUUCUAGCUUUUUUGUUGCUAAAGUCGAUGCUGGUUCUGUCAUUUCCUUUAAUCAGAAUAGGCCAAAAAUGUGGAUGGUGUUUAUAUGUUCCGCAUGUUUUGGCUCUUACAAGUGAUCCUACUAGGUUUUUAUUGGCCACAAAUAAUGUAUCCAGAUUCAGAUAUCAUAUAAUUUUCUACGGUAAGGCAGGUCCAAACCCCACCAUGUGUCACUUACUAGUUGGUUUGUGUCAAACUCUUGUAACAUGGUUGCAUUUAGAGGGAGAGGGGACAUGAGCAGGUGCUGUUGUGUUUUAAUGUGGUUGGAUCCGAUUAUUUUAUUUUUCAUAAUAAUUGAAAUUCGACUUGUUUCUCCAAAUUUCCAUUCAAAGCAUUUGAAAUUCGACUUGUUUCACAACUUGAACACUGAUUAGGAUUUGAAGUUCGACUUGUUUAUGAAAGCCUUUGAUCAAACAAGGUUGGCCUAUGGACCACAUUUUUUUUUUCUCUUCCCUUCUUAUGUGUCUCUUAUAAAUACUCUCCGUUGAUAGAUUCAAAUUUAGGAGUUACAAGUCCAGAUAUUAAGUAGUCUGAACACAGAUUUUUCAGGUACAGAUUCUACGUACAGUCAAUAAUGGUCAUUAUAUCGUUAAUAGGAUUUUUACAACCACUGCAUACUUUACACAUUUAUGAAAAGAAUUGUAACUGAAAUUUCUUAGACAACUUUUGGUAAUAAUCAUAUUUGUCCGUAUUCAUUUUAUAAAAGGUCAAAUCGACAUUAAUAUGACUGUUACAACCUUUAAAAAUAUUCAUAAUUUUUUAAAUGAAAAUAAUAAUUGAAAAUCUGAUUAAAUUAUUUUGAGGUUUUGGUUUUUUUUUUUUUUGAUAAGGCAUUCUAACACCAUGUGUAUUCUAUGCUUGAAAAUCACCUGUCCGGCCUCCAUUUGAGUCCACAGUCAUCAUGAAUUGAGGUUAACAUCUUGUGUUGUCUUAUUUUUCAUUCUUGGUUGCUUUUUGCCGAUAGUAUGUAAUGACAAUUGUCAGGUUUUCUCGCCGGACGUCAGAGAAUCAGGAGCCUUGGUCUGGGUAGGAUUUUAGGCAGCAAAACAUCAUCCAGUAACCAUGAUAACCAAAACAAUCAAGGAAAGCCUAACAAAGCCAUUGCCAAGAGGGCAAUUGGAGAAAUAAGAAUAUGUCAGGGUAUAAUUUAACCAAGCUACUCGACUCAAAUUCACGAGUAGCUUAGUUCAAGAUUCGAUUUGAAUUUGAUGUUGAUCGAGUUUGAGUGGAAUUCGAGUUACUUGAUAAGGUAUUCGAAUCAAGUACAAAUAGCAAAAAUCAAAGGGUUAUUAUCACUUUAACCCCUUAAUAUUUUGUACCUACAUUACUUUUUAGUUAUUUUACCCCAAGACUAACUGUCAAAUUUAACGAAGUUUGUUAAUCAAAUGAAAAAACAUAUUUAGCUCUUAAAAUUAGUAUUACUUUACCUCAUAAACUAUAACCUUAUUAUCAAUUUAACCCCUAGAGUUAUUUUUUAUACAAUUUAUCCCACCAUUAAACACACAUAGCAAGUUGAAGAAUUUUAGAAGAAAGUACCUUCUUUUUUGUAUAAUAAAAAUAAUAAAACAUUUAGAGUGGCUUUUCUCUUUUUUAGUAUCGAAACAAAAAAGUCAAAGUAUUAAUCUCUUUCUUCUUCGCAAUCUUAUUAAUAUUGAAAAAAUAGAAAGAUGGGGGGGAAGAGAGAGAGACAGAUCAAUUCUUUUUUGAAAAAAUAUAAAUAAGAAAUUGAUAAUAGUGAUAUAGUUUAAGAAAGUAAUAUAUUGAGUUGAAUUACUUAUGGGGGUAAAAUGAUUAAAAGAUAACAUUGGAGAGUAAAUUGAUAGCAGUGAUAUAAUUUAAGAGGGUAAAAUGAUAAUAAACUAAAAUCAAAACUCAAGUACUUAUUAAACCUUAUAAGCUAAAAGUUUAUGAAAUUUACCCCAAAAAAAAAAUCAAACUUCAAGAUUUGAUUGAACUCAAUUGAGUUCGAUUUAUCUUCUGAUUAAAAUAAAUAAAAUACUUAUGUUUGUGUUAAAAAAAAAAUCUUUUGAUUGAGCUUAAUUUGUUUGAAACUCAAGCUCGAGUCUCAAUUUUUAAGAAUUCAACGAGCGACGAGAUGGAGAUCAAGUUAAAGAAAUUUUAUUGAAGCAGAGUUCGAACAGUGUAGCCCUAAAUGUGACGUUGAAGGGUGGCACUAAGAAUUCAAUAACUCUUGGAAUGACGAAUGAUCCCCUUUCCAAGGCUACAUGAGUGCCCCCGUUCCGCAGCUGUUUUCACUUUUCAGCUAGUCCAUCACCUGCUACCGGACAAAGUUGGCACAAUCAGUGCCCCCACUACAUCUCCACCAGAUUGCCAGCUUGACUUGGUCAUUGCAAGUCAUCCCUCCGCCCAUGGCCGGCUCCUAUUGUGGUCUCAUCUCAUUCCUAAGAUCCUUGCCUUUUGACUGUCGCCUUAGUGGGGUACGAAAGCGAUGAUGAACCUCUGUUAAUUAGUUCAGGUUUUAUAAAAAAUAUUUAUAUAUAAUAUAAACGUGUUCUAGUCUACACAAUACCAAGGUUGGACCAUAAGUCCAAUACUAUAUGACCUUAUCGAAUUUUAGAUUGGACAAGGCUCUCAAUAUAUUUGCACAUAGAUGGAGUGCCAAUAGAUUUGUUAACAAGGAUCUAUACGUAUAGAAAAGGGAUGAAUUCACUCUAUUUAAUUAUCCUACCUCCAAAUUUUGAAAAUUACAUUAACCUCUUUUGAGGUUUAUUAUCUUGUAACAUUUAGAUCCAACUAACAAUUAAAAAGUGAUAUUAGGAGAGGGAGAGAGAGAGUAUGAUUCCACCAUUGCUUUUGAUCUACUAAAUUGUUUAAUUAAUGUAAUACCAAGCCAAACAUUAAAGAAAAUAUUAGAAUUUGCUAUUUAUUAUCAGGCAAUGUUUUAAAAGGCGAAAGUGUUGGGCAGGGCAUUUGGUAUCCGUCCCAACGAGGUAAAAGCCCCACAGCGUGAGGCGUAAGCCCCACGAAUUUUUAUUUUUUAAAUAUAUAUAAAUAUGAUAUAUAUAUUAUAAAAGUCAUUUGAAGAUAUAAAUAAAUAUAUUAAAAUUAGAUAAAAUUAAGAAAAUUUAUACAGAAAAUGAAUUAUUAUUGUAUAACUCUAACUAAUAAUUUAAGGAAAAUAUAUAUAUUGAUAUUAGCUGCACAAAAAGUAGAAUAAUUAACAUUACAAAAAGUUCAAUCUUAGAAACAACUAGUCACAACUUAGAAGUCACCACAUUAUCAAGCACUUAAAUCACAAACACAUAAAUUCAAGUAAACACAAAUUUCAAAGGUUAAUUGUUUCAAUAAACACACUUAACUAGUAUGAAAAAUAGAAUACCAAAUUAGCAACCAUAUUGCUUAAUUAUAAUACAUAACAAGGAAUAGCACCAAUAAUUAGAAACAAACUGACAAAUAAAAUGAUACUAUUCAUCAAAAUCAAUAUCAUCCAUGUCAUCAUCUUCAUCUAGUGUACAUACACUAGGUAAUUUUCUUCCAAUAGUUAAUGAUAGUUCCGAAAUUUUCAUCAUAUUAUAGGAUCCAAUCUACAGGUAAUAAUCUCUUUUCCUUUACCUUUCUUGCCUAACCAUAUAUUAUAUUUCAAAUAAAUUCGUCAAAUUCACUCUAUGUCUCAAUAUAAUAGAUAGUAAAUUAGUAAUAAAGUUGAAUAUUAAAAGUUAAAAACUUAAUUGAUGAAGUUAAAUCUUUUUUUCCUUUUUUUAAAGAUAAUUUGUGAGGUGCAUGCUUUUAACGCUCCACUUCAGAGACACACCCAAACACCUGGAUGCAUGCCAUAGAACACUUUCGCCUUUUACGACCACCCAGGGGCAGUAUUGGAACGCUUUACCCUGACACUCACCUUACGAACGCCUUUUAAAACAUUGUUAUGAGGAAUUAAAUCACAUAUGCUAUCAAAUAUAGUAUGUCAUUCUAUAUAUUUCAUUUAAUGUAAGAUUCAAAGUGCUCUUUUUAGUUACAAAUCCAUUGUCAAAUAAGAUCAACAACAAAUAAUUAAAAGAAUCUAUAAUCAAAAUAUUACAAAGAGCAAACUUUAAUACCAUAAAAAUCUCAACAACUAACCUUAAUAUGCUGACAAGAAUAUUUAUGAUAUUAAGUUUGUUCUUUGUAAUAUUUAGUCGCAAAUUUUUUGAUUAUUUAUUGUUGAUCGUGUUUGACAAUGAGUAUGUAGCUAAAAAAAGUAAUUUGGAUCUAAUAUUAAGUGAAAAAUAUAACAUAAUAUACUAUUUUUCGAUGCUAUAUAAGAUUUGAUCCCUAAUAAUAAAUAGCAAAUUUUAGUGUUUUUCCUUAAUGUGUGGAUUGGUAUUGAAUUAAUUAAAUAAUGCCAUAGAAGAGGGGCAAUAAUGGAAUCAUAUUAUCUUCUCUUUCCUAAUUUCACUUUUUAAUUAUUGAUUGAAUCUAAAUGUUACAGGAUAAUUAAUCAAGUGAGGUUAGUGUAAUUUUCGAAAUCUAGAGGAAGGCCAGUGAAAUAAUCAAAGGUUUUUGAAAUUAUCCCUGUAGAGAGAGCAAGAGAAUCACCUUGAUAAUUAAGAGAUCGAGCCCGGAUCUUCUUGCAAGUGAGAAGGUCUUGGAUAGACGGCCAACCUCUUGAAGAGACUGAUGUGCAGGAUCAGGUGAUAAGGAUGCAGCUUCGUGGAUUGAGUAACCGUAAGAACUUGCCCUUGAGAGGGGUACCAAAAUGUGAAUUCUUGGAUGGGCAUUUAUUUAUGGGCUUCCUCAAAAGAGGAAAAUAGAACUUCGCAAAAUUUCGAGGAAUUCAUAUUGCAGCACAUACAUUGGUGUUGAGAAUGUUGCAUUAUUGGCAAAAUGGCUUUGCAGGUGGGCAAUGUGGUGGUGGUAGAUUGCAGGAAUGGUGGUGGCUUGCAGAUAGGUUGCAUGAAAAAGAAAGGGACGUUUUGGUCCUUUUAGUUGACAAACAACAAAUUUUUACUAGUAUUUUCUUUGCAAAAAUUUGAACUUUUAACACUUACUUAAAUAUUUUUACCAACUAUUUAGUUAAAUGAUAUAUAAAAUGCAUCUUAUUAUUAGUAGCAUUAGCAUUAUUAUUGAAUUUUUAAGACUUUAUUUAUUAUGUCAAGAAAAAAUUGUUUAAUGUUAAACUACAUACGCCUUUUGAUUAAUUGUUUGAUUUUAAUUUUAAUUUUUGAUCAACCAAAUUUCAAAUUUAAGUACUUAAAUCUACUACAUAUGAUCUUCUAAAUGUGAAGUUGAAACUAAUAGAAUUUGUAUACAUUCAAAGUUGUCUCUGUAAAUAUAUAAAACCAACAUUUGCAUCUAAUAGUAAUAGGGUUAAUUACCAUAUAUCCACCUAAUAUAUAUCCUAUUUGUCUGUUUACCUCUUAACUUUCUUUUUAUGUCAUUUAACCUCCUCUAGAAGAACUCUACCACUCUAUUAUGUCGAUAUUUUAUUUCUUUUCUCCUUUCUCUUUUCCUUUUUCCUUCAAAUCAGUAAUUUUUAAAUUCUUAUUGUUAAGUAAAUAAAAAAUUGUUCUAUAUAAUAUAUUUCUUUGUUAAAUUUUGUAUUCAAUUCAAAUCUUAAUUGAAUUGAUUUUUUUUUCAUUGUUUUACAUAUCACAUUUCUAUACUAAUUUGUGUUCUUUUAUUUGUCAAAAACCAUCUUGACUAGUUUUAUGUUGUUUGUUCUAUAACUGCAUGGAGAAACUAUACAUACAUAUACAUACAUACAUAUAUAUAUAUAUAGACACACACACACACACACACACACACACAUAUAUAUAUAGUAAAUUACCAAUCAAUUGUAUUUAUUUAGUAUCAUUAUAAUUAGACAAGUUGAAAUAAAAGAUUAAUUUUUUGACAAUCAUGUUAACAAGCUAAUUAUUUGAACAUCUUUUUGGUCUAUUUCCUUUAUUAAAUAUUUUCUUAUAAUAUUACUUUCUUUACUAUUUCUUCAAAAGUAAUCAAAUAUUAAUAUGUUCCUAGUAAAUCUACUUCUAUCUUUUGGUACUUUACCACUACAAAUUAGAGUAAUCAAAAUUUAGCCACAAUUUAAGAUUAAUAAAGAAAAGAAAGAAGAAAAGGAAAACUAAAAAUUUAGCAUAAUAGAGGUGUAGUAUUGUCUCUUAGGGUUUAAAUGAGAAAAAAAAUUAGGGGUAAAUUACAAAUCUAACUAUAACUUAAGGGAAGUUUUUGUGAAAAUAUCAUCUGUCUACUUUCUAUUUGCACUUUGAGAUUUGAUUGCUCUUCAAAGUUUGAUAGUAGAAAAUAUUCAAAUAUUUUUUUUCCCUUAAGACUGUUAGAAUGAUAAGAUAUAAUAAUGAAUAAUGAGUUGUUAUAGAUAACUAUUGCUCAUUUCAAUUUAUUAAUAAAUAUACAAAUUCCUUAACAAAGUUCUAUACAUUUAAGUUAAAAUAAUCUAAUGAUUAAAAAAAGACUUCUUGAUAUAGAAACUUAAUUUGAAACUUUUUAUUUUGGGUGUAAUAAGACAUCGAGAUUGGAUAAUUAAGUGUCAAAAAUAGAAAAGAAUUAUCAUACAAUCCAAAAAUCUAAAUUUCCACUUGCCAAACUACAAUUAUCCACACACACACACACACACAUAUAUACAUGUCACUUCCCCUCCGCCUUAGGAUAAAACCAAAAUCCUGACUCAGGGUUCUACAGCAUGUGUAAAUACAUACAAACUAUACAGGGAGGUGUACAAUGUACAUGUUAGUCGUAGGGAGUAUAAAUUUUUAUAUCUUUGUUUAUCUGUUUAGUCCACAAUUCGGUAUAUAUGCUUGUCUAAGUGCAUUUUCGGGGGCGAGGUGGAAUUACUAGAAUAUAGGAAAGUGAGGCAGCUCUAUGGUUGGUUGCUAAUAACUGACCAAGUUCUUCUCCAUCAACACCCUUUUUUGAGUUGAAUACAUAUAGUAGUUGAAAUGACACUAAAAAGCACCAAUUCCUCAAAGUUAAACGUAACUAUUGGUGCUGCAGCGUUUUCCGUGACCUUUCAACAGACGCGACUGAAACACGGUGCAAGAAAAUUGGAGAGUACUAUUGACCUUUUCUUCCUUUUCUUCUCUUUCUUUUUUCUCUUUUUCAGUUUUGUUUUGUGUGCGAAUUAUAUAUAACCUUUAAGCAGAUGCAUAUUUUGCUCAUCCAAAAUUUGAAACUUGUUUCAGCCAGUCCCGAAAUUUGCCCACUUAGUUGCACUUGUUCCAUUUGCGUUUCUGCAACGUCCUGUGGCUCUUUUAUUCCAAUUGUCCCCAGAUUCUUGCAUCAUCUCCUUAAUCAAAUUCUUGAUCAUAAUCGUAAAAACCUGGUUCUCGUCUCCAAUUUACUCAUCAAUCCACCAUGUAAAGUUUCUAGCGUGUAACAAACUGGAUAACACCAUUCUUUCUAUUCCGUAGCUGCACAUUUAUAAAAAACUUGUUCAGCAUGUAAUUUUGAUCAGCUCCAUAUUCGGCUCUUCCAAAACCAAAAAAAAAAAAAAAAAAAAACGUAGUAUCAGUUUUUUCAUUUAGGUACCUUGUUUCCCUACAGUAUUGUGCUACAGAGCUGGCUGGGCGUGGCUCAGGAGCUCCUGUAGCCAAACCUGUAUAAAAAUCAACAAAUCACGUAAUAUCGUUCUCUCAAGUUUCUUAAUCUAGGAUCUAAUCAAUCUCCCAAAAAAAAAAAACUUAUACUUGAAGUUUUGAAGAAGAAAAUGGCACAAUCAGCGCCCGGAAGUCCGCGAGGGACGGCGUCUACAACGCCAGGGAGUACUCCAACACCGCUGUUUACCGCAGUGCGAAUUGAUUCAAUGGCUGAUGAUCGGAAGCCAAUGCCUGCGUGCAAGUGCUUCCCAGUAUUGGCUGGACCUCAAUCGUGUAUCACCAACUUCCCCGCGCCAGAUAUCUCGCUCCCCCGCAAGGUAUGACUUCUGCCUUUUCUUGUUUUCUAUCCUUCUUCCUCUCCUUGUAGGUGCCAUGCAUGCGCUGUACAAUAUUCUCAUUCCAUCCUAACAAGUUCAGCAGAGAUUACAUUCUCAUCUAGCAGUUUUAUAUAAAUCCACAUAUUAGUUCGUGGAGAGCAUACAGAAGUAAUUGAGGAAGAUCAUCAUUGUUCUUGGUUGAUUUUGCAACGAUUCUUUUCUUUCUUGGUUUUACUUUUCAAAUGUAUACAACUAAUGCGCAGUAGUAGGAUCAAUAUUUAAUAAGUUACGGUUGUUAACAUUGCAAUUAACUCACAAAAUUGAGGCAUAAAAACUAAGGAGAUGUUUGAUAACCCAAUUCAAUACUUAAUAGAUUUAGAUCUUAAUAUGUUUAGACGCGUUUGAUAACUAAAAAUUGAAUAUUUAAAUUAAUUAAGUAGUAUUAAAUUUUUUAGGCAAAACUUGUUCUAAAAAAAUAAGUGACAAGUUAUUCAUUUAUUAUUACUUAAUAUAAUAUACAUUCAAAUAUAUCAGAUUUAAUAUUUAAUAAUUCAAUAAUUUAAUGGAUUCAAAAUUCAAAUUUUAGUUUUCAAAUUUCAAUCUUAUCAAACACACUCUAAAUUCAUGAUUAAAAUCCCAACAUCUAAUGUCUUAACCUUGGUUAUUUAACCACGAUUAGUUGAAGACGUCAUUGAUAACUGUGUAAAAGUCAUGUAUUACUGAAUUUAAACUUGAUACUGGUGGCUAUGAGAGGACUGUUAAAAUUACCCAAUCCUAAACUUGACUGUUGGAGGUUGGAAGGAUGUAAGAAAAAUAAAUAAAUGUCAAUAUGCUGGUCUUAAAAUUUACCUUCAAGGAUAAUGUAGUAAAAAAAAUGUGGUUUAUUAUCCGUGUACACUUUGUAAAUGGAAAGCUCAAAGUGUUUGAAUCAAUCAACUCCUUUAGCUACAACAAGUGGGAAGAACAGGACGAGAUCCAUUUGUUGACUUGCAGUUUAUAUCACUUCCAAUCUCAGUAAUGAUUAAUGGAUACAAGAGUAUAACUUAACCUUGAAUUGGAACUUUUGCAACUGGCGAAAUAUGAAUACAGGUGGGAGCAGAAUUCUUGGGGACUUUCAUCCUUAUAUUUGGAGCCACAGCUGGACCCAUUGUAAACCAAAAGUACGACGGAGCAGAAACGCUAAUAGGGAACGCAGCUUGUGCGGGGCUAGCAGUUUUGAUAGUGAUCUUGGCAACUGGGCAUAUCUCGGGAGCUCAUCUGAAUCCCUCCGUAACUAUUGCAUUCGCGGCACUUCGCCACUUCCCAUGGGCUCAGGUGCCUGCCUACAUAGCAGCUCAGGUUUCAGGAUCGAUCUGUGCUUCUUUUGCUCUCAAAGCUGUUUUUAACCCCUUUAUGUCAGGUGGUGUCACGGUUCCGUCCGUAGGCAACGCCCAAGCCUUCGCCCUUGAGUUUAUUGUAACCUUCAUUCUCCUAUUUGUUGUUACAGCGGUCGCCACAGACACUCGCGCAGUAAGCACAUCAUCCUUGCUCCUCAGACUUAAUCUGUUCAACUGCGAACCUAUAUAGCCUUCGUAGGUUAGCUAUGAAUUUUGGCCUCUACAUAGUUUAUUUUUAACAUGUGCUCAUACUGUCGCUACACAUGUAAAUAGGUUGGAGAACUGGCAGGAAUAGCAGUCGGAGCUACAGUCAUGCUCAACAUUCUUGUUGCCGGGUGAGUUUUGGCUAGGGGUUUAUUUGAUAACUACUCUACUUAAUGGUGAAAAUUAAUUCAUUGAGAACUUUUUGAAUUCAACGUGUUUGAUUGCAGAAAUCUCCUAUCGCCUAUAGUAUAUUAAGCAUUGUUUAACUAGUGUACAAACUUUCAAGUGAAAAAAUUUUACUGAAUUUUUCGAAUUGACUAUACAUGCUAUAACUCUCACACAUAUAACACAUUCUUGUACAAUCUCUCGUACAAAGUACACCUCUUUUUGUUCACACACUUAUACACAUUGCAAUAUACACUAUCACACAACCACUAGGCCAUUGGCUUAGUGGCCACCACCAAAAUGCCACAUUUAAGUGGCUUGUUUCCAAAAAAAAUCCAGACGGGUGUGCUGUGCACCCGUCUGAUCUGGUGGUGGUUCAGUCCCUUUCGAGUUAUCCCUAGGUCUUCUUAGGUCCGCCCCCUUCCCCUUAGUGUAGGAUAGAUUAGGUUUAUCGUCUCCGGAAAAAAAUAUAUAUACACUAUCACACAGAAUUAUGCACGCUUAAACACCACCUCUAACUUUUUUUUUAUCACACACACAAGCACACACAAUUUUUCUCUCUCUAAAUACACAAAUAAAGGUAAUUUUUUAAAGAUAACAACAUAAUAUUUCUGCGAUAUUUCAAUUCAGCAUUAUAAUUCUGUUAAUUAUUAAAUAGAUAUAAUCUAAUCAAUUGAGCAACUUAAUACUGAAAAGCACUUCAUUUUUUAGAUUUUAAAAAUCAGAUUUCAGACUUCAAUUUUAUAAAAAAGGGGCCUAAGUAGGCCAAUGAAUUAGUGCUUGUUACAAAGUAAAUAAAGAAUGGAAUGGGUUCGCUUCAUAUGCACCCACGAGUGGUUAAUAAAGGCUGUAAGAAUUUUGCUACCAGAGCAAUUUUGUCUACGAUGACCGAAUCACCUUUAUAGAUCAUUUUAAAAUUCAAACUUCCAGUCCAAUCUGGAAGGAUAACUACUGAGUACUAACUUCUAACUAUUUGACAUUUUAGUAUUGGUUUAUUGCAUUACGUAAUUGGUUGGAGUUUGGACAGCAAAAGUGGCAAGAUGCAAUAUUGACUUUUUUUUUUUGUUUAUUUAAUGUGAUGCUGAGUUGAUGAUUGAUGUGCUGAUUUUUUUUUCAAUUGAAUUUUGUUGGAAAAAACAUAUGGAAUAUUAUUUUGGAGCAAUUUUUUUUUUAGAGAAAAUUGAAAUAUGUUAACUUACUAUUGGCAUUUUGGAUUUCGGAUAUUACCAAAUUACUGGUUCUCCGGCCAAAAUCCAAUUACCGGUAUCCAAUUUACCAAACUAAAGUUUGGAUGCGAAUCGAAUAUUGGUGUUGACAAACCAAUUACCGAAUUCCCAAAAUUUUUUUACCAAAUUUUCGACCACCACCCAAUAAACACCCCUAUCUGAUCCAUUCCUCUUUAUGGGCAAACUAAUUCAUCGUCUCCAUUUUAAGAAGUCUACAAUAGUGCACUUAGGAGCAAUUUGAAUGCUUCUGCUAAUGGGAGGAUAUGCUACGAUUGGAAACAGAAGCACCUUCAUGAUAGUAACUAAAUUCAGUGAAUUUUACCCCAAAAAAAAAUUAAAUUUAGAGAAAAAGACAAGAAACUCAUGUGCUUGCAAUAAUAAUAGGGAAAAUAGGAAUAUAAUAGAUGCUGUAGUUUUUUGAAAGUUACACACCAUUUUUAACCACUAAUUUUCUCAAGCCUAUUAUUAUCCUAUCUUCUAAUCCCUAUAUUUUAAAUAUUUUUCACCCUUGAUCCUAGCCCCUUUUGCGACUAUUUAAAAUCCAAAGCAAUAAAAGCAACAUUUGAAAGAAUUUUAUGUAUGUCUAUUAACUCAGAAUUACAUUGUUAUGCUACUGGAAUCCUACUAACAUACUUACAAAACAAGCACUGACAACAUUGCCGUGGCUGUCGGCAGGCCAGCCAGCGGCGGUUCAAUGAAUCCUGUCCGAACUCUGGGACCAGCCGUCGCUGCUGGAAACUACACGUCAGUUUGGGUAUACUUGGUGGCUCCUACACUCGGGCCCUGGCGGGAGCGGGGGCAUAUACCAUGGUCAAGCUUCAAGGAGAAGGGCGUAAUGCGGCUGAAGCUCGACAGCAGUCCCGGAGUUUCCGUCGGCCAAGCUAGGCCUACUGAAGUUCAAAUCUACCUAUCUAUCUAUUACUAUCUAUCUGCAUGGCAAGUACGUUCGGAUUACAGGAGGACUGCUUCGUAAGCCCAAAAAAAAAAAAAAGCAGCAGCAACAACAAUUUUUAGUAAAAAAAAAAAAAAAAAAAAACAAUUUUUAGUAAAUUAAGUAGUUCGGUUGGAAAGCUUAAAACUCAUUACUUCUUAUAUACUUCCAAUUUAACGAAGAAAUCGAAGGUCUAGAAGAGGAAACUAAACAUUGUACUUCCCCUGACAUAAUAUUGUGCUGUGCUUAUUAAGGUUUAUGCAAGAUCAUCAGUACUAAAUCAAGUGUGUCAUACUUCAGUGUAUCCACUACUCCCUUAUUUUUUCAGUCACUUAAUCUUGUAAAGCUCAAACAGCGGAAUUAUCUAUGGAGGGUUUCGGUUUAAAUAUGUUUAUCACGGCUUGUUAUGUAUUGGAGCUCCUACAAGCGUAGUUUUGAUUGUAUGGUGCAGUUAAUAUUCGGGAUGAGUUUAAUUUCGAAUUGCGGGGAUGAAAUUAACUGUAGGACACAAUUUUCAAGAAGUGAAAAAAAAAUUAUUAUAGUUUUUUUGCACAUUAUUGUUGUAGUAUAUACAUUUAUUGUUUUAGUAGUGUCUAAACAUGUUGUAUCAGUGUUUACACUGCACCAUAUAAUUGGAACUGUAAUUAUAUUAGCCCUGCAUCUGCUUUGAUUCGGCUUGUGUUGGUAGUGUAAUAUAAGAACUCAAAAGUAUAUUAGAUUUGAAAUGUUAAAUUUUCUUACUUCUUUUAUACUUAACAUGAAGUACUUGACCUGUGCAAAGCACAGCUUGGACCCCUAGAAAUUUAGUCGAACACAUAACAUCAAAUUAUUUUGGCACAUGAUGAAUGAAUAGAAAUAUAGGAGAAAAAUUGAGCAUCAAAAUAAUUAAAAUUGACAAAUGUUAUUUGAACUCUCAAUUUUUUUUAAUCACACCUUCGCUAUUAUUUUUAUCAUAUAGUUUUUAUUUAUUGUAGGAAUACAAUUAACAAAAUAUGAAGUAUAAAUAAAAUUUCCCUCAAAAUUUGUUGUGAAGAGAAAUUCCAUCUAUGAAGUCAACCCCCCUAUUUAUUGUGAUUUGAAUAAAGAUUUUUGAACCACUAUUAUGAUGAUACCCAAAAACGGGAGAGAAUUAAUACACUAUAAGUGCAUUGUUAUAUUAAUAGCAGCAUAGUUUUAGUUGUAACUAAAUCAAAAGUAGUUAUAACACUUCCAGUACUUUAAUAAUGAGAAAAAGUUUAGAAAGCCACUAAGACAUGGCACAAUCUUCAACAUCAAUAUAGUUUACUAUAAACUUUCACAUUUUUCUUGCUUUUGAUUGAAGAAGUUAGUUCAUCUAUAUAAAUCCCGCCUAAUGAUGAUAACAUUAUCCUGCAGCUCCAAAAUAUAAAUAGCAAGGUUAGAUAAAAAUAUGAAUUGCUACAUUUUCAAAUCUACAUUUACAAAUUAGAAUUGAACCAUUUUUUUUAUUGCAAAAACAUCUUCCUAAUCAAAAUUAAAUUUUCUAACAUUUUUUUGUCAAGUCAUACUCUAGGCUGAAAUCCUCAAUUGUGACUUCUAUCACCAACUACAAUCCUUGUAUGCCAACCCAAUUGAUACUACAACACUUGACUAAUUAAAAAACAAGCAAAAAUUAACAUUAGUUUAAAUAUAUACAAAAUCUUAUUGGAUCCUUCAAUUAAAUUGAAUAGACCAUAAAGUAAUUGCAAAACGGGGGCAGGGGAAAGAAAGAAACAGAGAAAAAUAGAGGUAGAGGAAUGCCUAACUAGAUUUAUCUUGGUGGAAAUAUCACAUAAUAUGUCUUUUCUCCUUAAAAAAAUACACAAAAUUGUAGAUAAUUACAAGAUGUAACCAAAAAACAAAGAAAAGGAAAAAAGAUGUGAAGUAAGAACUCAAAUCCUAGGAGGAGAAAAGAAAAGAAUGAAUUUUUGUUUUAUUCUUCAUAGAAGAUGAUCACUAGUAUAAAAUGAAUUUUAAGAUCUUUUUACCUAUUUUAAUAUUUCACCUUUAUCCAUGAAGAAAUACCAAAUAAAAACAUCAUCCUAUAAAUUUAACAAACAAAUGCCAAUUGGCUAUAACAUUAUGAUUGAAGAAUAGAGCAACAUGAGAGAUUAGAGAUGAAGAAAAAUGGAAGAAAAGAAAAUGUAAAAUGGGAUCAAAAAAAUAAUAAAGACUUCUCAUUUCUAAGUAGCUAAUCAUCUCGACCAAUAAAAAGAACAUGACAACAAUCAUAGUUAGAUUAGUUUUAAAAAAUAAAAAAUUAAAAAGGUGAGGGAUGACAGCAAUUGCCACAAGGAGGGAAGGAAAAAUUUUGCUAAAAUGACCAAGAUUCCAAUUGUCAAAAAUAUAUGCAAUACAUGUGUCAAAAAGAUGAGCAGCCGCAGUAACUUGGCCUUUUCUUAUAUAAAGGUAUAUAUUCUCCAAUUUGACAAGGAAACUAAUUUUAGAGAAGGGAAAAUACAAAUCAUAGUCUCCUAAACUAGGAUAGGUAUAAGAAUUCAUUAGUGCAGAACCAAGUGCAAUGAUCGUAUGUGGGCUAAUAACCCUUUCAUUUAUGCUGCAAACAUAACCAGAACGUGUAUGUGAAGAGUGGACUUUAGCAGCAUGAGACUCUAAAAGGACACUUAACAGAGACAAUGAUGGCCUUAAAGGAUAAGAGGUUUUGGCCUAUCUUUGAUUUCUUCUUUGCACGUUGGACCAAACACCUUGUCACAAUCACUAGACGAAGGACUUGGCAAAUUACGACUGCUUUCAGUGCCGUGCGCGUCAGUUGUGUUUCCAAUUUGACUAUAGGUGUCCAAUUUCAAUUGAUGUGAAGAAGCACGGCACCUAGAGCUAAGAUUCCAAUUGUGACCGGAAAUGGUUUAUUAAUUAUUAUUGAUAGAUAUGGCCCAUUGUAAUGUAAGAAUGUGUGGACGUUAUUAAUUUAGCAGAUGAAACAUCUGAAUCACUCGCUACACAAAACAUUUUUCUUUUCUAACAAAAUUUCAAUUCACUCAAAAUAUCCAAAUUGAAGGUGUUAUUUACAUUAACAUGAAAGUGAGAAGCAUAUAAUGAAUGACACCACAAGGGAAUUUAGGAUUAUCUGAUUUUUAUUCAUUGUUUAGAGCAAUAUACUGUGAACGUGAAUUUUUAUGUGACCUGACCUCAGAGAAUAAAACAGCACAAUUUUCAGAAAAAGAGACGUAAUUGUUCAAGAUAAAUAGAUAAUCUCAUAGGCACAUAAUUGUUUGGCCUUUUUUUUUGGGGGGGGGGGACAUGGUUAAUUCUAUUUUGUACCCUUGAGUUGUACCCUAAUUCUCACUUGAUCCCUGAGCUAAAAUAUAGAUAUUUCACUUCCUAGAUCUUAAUAUCGUUCCACUUUAAUCCAAUACUUAACAGAAUAUUCUAAACUAUUUUGUUAGUUUGUGUACAUCUUGUUGACAAUUGAAUUAAAAUGAAAAGAAUUUAAGAGGUUGAGGAAUAAAGUGUUUCAAACUACAGUUUAAGGAUCAAAGUAAGAAUCGAGAUAUAAUUCAAAGGUGCAAAAUAAAAUUAACCCCAAAAAAACAAGAAGAACGACUUUUUAAUUGAACAACUUAUAAUACAACUUGAAACAUUUUGGGUAGAGCUGUAGGCUUUCAGAAAGUUAAGAUAGAACCUUAAAUUGUUCCUGUGAGAGAUGACUAUCCAUCAUCAUCUUGAGCCACCAUCGACGAGUAGGUCCUGGCCAGUGAUACAUGAAGAAUCAUCGGAGGCAAGGAAUAAA
This 50553-nucleotide long non-coding RNA is filed under the name Coffea arabica (coffee). RNAcentral's name for it is "long non-coding RNA (CARA_LNC003339)". Lineage: Eukaryota; Viridiplantae; Streptophyta; Magnoliopsida; Gentianales; Rubiaceae. The record is from RNAcentral.